CCACGCUACCGCAACAAUCCUCCUCCAUGAAAGCCCACCUCCAUCACAGCAAGCAGAAAAUCCAUCACGUCAACCAUCAACCUCCACACAGACCUAACACUGCAUAGCCGUGUUUUGGGAGUGUUAGAACGUGAUUAAAGAUGAUUUAAUUUGAGUGUUCAUGGAGUUUCGCUAUAAGAGGGUGAUAGACCAGAGUAUCAAUGCUCCCUUUGUAACUUUAGGGCCAAAGAGGAGUCAGUUUACCAAAAAUUCUUCAUGAAACCAUCCAUUUAUCUCAGGGAACAUUUAUUAAGUAGAGUCAAAUAGAUUUACAGAUAAGAGACGAUUUAUUCCUUUGAAUGAAAUAACCUUAUUUCAAAUUGCCCUAAUGUGGCCUAAUAAGCAAAAUUACUGGUUAUAUUUUGGACACAUCUCAGUAGAGGUUUGGGGGAGAAAAUAGAAGAAGCAGAGAUGCUUACUUACUUCAGAGGGGCCACUGCUCGCCACCACCACUUCAUGGCUGUGCCCAUUUCACUUGCCCAAGUCACUCUCUUCUCCAAACCCUCCAUUUUACUCCACAGAAAUGCCAUCAUUGGCUUCUCCUUUUCCAUUCCUUUCUCCUCUUCUUCUGCUCACAAGAUUCAGACUCACAAGUGGAGGCAACCGGUGGUCUCGCUUCUGGAGCUUGGUGGAGUCAAGAUUGGCAGAGAUGGUAACAUACCCACAUCCCAAAAUUGCGUUUAAAAAGGAUCUUUAGCUUGAAUUUCGUGUGCCCAAUUUGCGUUUUUGCAGACAUUUGCACUCAAGUCGUGUCGUUUGUUUGCAAUUUCACAAUCUGAUUUCUUUUCUAUUGUGCGUUUUUUUUCUCCUGCUAGGUUCGAAUUCAAGCAUCCAAUUUGCGUUUUUGUGGGUAGUCUUAUGCCCAACUUGUGUAUUCAAUUUGCAAUUGUUGUUAUCAGACUUCCUUCUCUCUUUUGAGACUUACACAGUUAGAGACGUCAUUUCUGUGAAAUUAAGAAUGCAUGUUCCAACUUUCACUUCUUUCUCUCUCUCCCUCUUUUUUUUUUUUUUUUUUUGUGAAAUUGGAAUUCAAGAACUUAUUUUGCGUUUUACAAGCUUAGCGGGUUACGUUUCUGUUCUAUUUGUUGUGCUGUUGGAGGUGUUUGGUGCAUUUAUAUAACUAGGCUUGCAAUUUCGCCCUCUGAUAAAGGUUAAAUUUUCUCCCUUUUUAUUUUUUAUUUUUUUAAUGGUGUAUUUGUUUUGGGUAUUUGGUGAAAUGAGGAUUCUGUACUGGGUUUAUGGCAUUUUUUCAAUUGGUUUGAUAUAUGUGAAUGUGGGUUUUGUAGGGAAGAUAUGCAAAUUUUUUGAAAGAAGCAUGCAAUUACAACUCUGAUUUCCUUUAUAUUUAUAUUUUUUUAUGCUUAUUUGCAUAUUGGUUGAUGUCAAAAUUCAUCUAAUGGGUUGUUUUUUAUUGCUUUGGAUUGGUUUAAUGUAGUUGAAUGGUGGAUUUUGUUUCUAAAACUUAGGGUCAAUUUCAAUUUUUUUUUCUUUUUUUCAAUUUGAAGACCUGGGAGUCUAUGUGAUUGGAAUUGAUGUACUCGAGUUUUUGGAUUUUGCUGAUUGCUUGAUAAACUUGGGAUGCAGAGCCUUAAAAAAUAAACUAUAUUCACUAAACUAUAUCUCUGAUUAUACUUCGUCAAAGCGUGAAAUGCAACUUGGAGUCUUUGUAUUUUUAAAAUUUUUUGGGUUAUUCUAUUCUGAAUAUUUGGUAAAAUUAGAACUCAUGUACUGAACCUUUUUCAAGUUCUUUUGGUUGGCUUGAUAUAUUUGGUUGUGGGGUUUGUAGAUGUGGUGAGGGAUGAUCCUACAAACAAUGUCCCGGAUGCAAUUUUUUUGAAACUUGGAAUGCAGCUUCACAGGAGGGAUCAACACCCAAUUGGAAUUCUGAAGAAUGCAAUAUAUGAUUAUUUCAAUGCCAAUUACUCUAACAAAUUUGAUAAGUUGGAUGACCUUUGCCCAAUAGUCUCCACAAAAGAGGUUUGACAUUAAGAUAUAAAAUAAAAAUUGUAUGCAUGUUUUUUUUUUUUCACUGUUUUGAGCUAUACAUUGCACUAUUUGGAACUUGUAUUAUCUUGCUAUGACUGGUGCCUGACAUUUUGUUGCGGUUUUUAUUUAUUUUGCUGCCCAUUUCCUGUUGGUUUUUGUCCUGUCCUAGGUCUUUUAACAUUUAAGAAUCCAUGAAAGUGGUAUUUGCAUAUGUUGCCAAUUAUUCCAUUGACGAUGUUCUAAGUAGGGAACCUAGUAUCCAAACUUCCAUCCAAACUUCCAUAUAAAAAAAGUCCAGAACAGGCAUUCGGUUUACCAGGUUUAUCAGUUCUCUCCAGUGUUUAUUCAACUCUUAAAUGCAGUAUUCUGGACAUACUCCAAAUUUGAAAUUCCUUUGGUAAAAUAAAGGCAUGGUACUUAUAGUGGUCUAUUAAGGAAAAGGUUUGUUUGACCUAGCUUUUGUACAAAAAAUUCAAGGAUAGUCUUGCAGAUAUGUAUUGUAUAGGUGUAUAUUUCUCUAUCAUGACACAAGUGAGAAAAAAUUCACGAAAGUUGUUUUGUUUUAAUAAAAAAUUGAAAGUUAAUUUAUGUUUUGAGAGGGACAUUAGACAACCUAGGAUUCAAAGGGACAUGUUGUCUCUUAGGAAAAUAUAAUUCAUAGCAUUCUCAAUCACUUACAGGUUAUUUUAAUCCUUUUAAAUUGAUUUAUUUAAUUUUUUUCUUUAUAGUAGGCAAGCAAAAAAUAUAUUUACAACACCUACUAUUAUCAUUAUUUUGGUAAUUAGCAUUGAUGGAGAUUGUAAAAAUUCUCUAAUAGUAUUGCAGGAGAAAAAUAAUAUUUAUGAAUUUUUGUUAAACGCAAUUGUCAUAAUGAUAAUAGUUAAUUAGAAUAAUAUAAGUUUGUAAUUGGAAAAAUUUUAAAAAAUAAUAGCUUUUGGAAAUAGUUUGAAUAGGAGUACAAAAUUCUUGGAUUUCAUGGAGAGCUUAGGUGGGAUCUAAAGCAUGGGGCUGUUUGCUAUCUAUUUUAGUAUUUGCUGCUCUUCUCUCUUAUAGGUGUUCAGUUGCAGCUUGUAUUCUCUGAGCGUACUUGGGUUGUGCCCCCUUUUGUGUUCUUCAAUAUAAUCUUCAGGCUCAUGACUAGUGCAAUUUCUACUAAUUGAUCACUUUUCACUUCAAAUAAUAUUCAGUAAUCCAAAUAGCAUUUAUCAAAUUAUUUUUAACUGCCAUUAGAUUUAUAAAGAACCCAAAAUGUGAAAAUUUCUUCUUAGGCAUGAGAAAUUGUCAUUGUUAUAAACCCCAUGUUUGUCUUGUACUUACAAGCAUAAUUAUAAAGCAUGAUCUGCAUGUCUUAUCAUGAAAUAUAACAAUGUCAUAAAAUAGAUGAUUGAUAAAAUAUUAGAAGUCCAUUACAAAUGCUUAAUGGAACUGAAAAUUAUUACAGAGCAAGUGCAUAUUUCAGUCAAACUUUUAUGCAGUAGUGGUAGCUUAUAAACUCACAACUUUGUAAUCAUGUGCUUGAAUCAAGUAAACUUAAUGGAUCUCAGCUACAUCUGCUCUACAUUUUAACCAUUGUUUUAUGUUAUGGGAAUAGUGACUGAAUUUCACAGUCCCAUCAUUAUAAUUUAUGCAUGUAAAUUCAUUUGGGACUUAGUUUUCACAUGUGUUCACAUGUCAUAACUGUAAUUUCCCUAAUUUUAUGAGUAAGAAAAACUCUUUAAUUUUCCCUAUUUUGACUGAAACUUUAGGAACUUGGACUUUAUUUGGUGCAAAUGUAUGUUAUCAACUAUUGCUUUUGACCAGUCAUGAGUAGAUGCUAUUUAUAAAAGGACACAAAGGAGGAUAUAAUCCAAGUGCACUUGUAGUCGACAAGUUACUCUGGGCAUCAAAAUUGAAAGAAACAACAAUGAAGAAAAGCAUCAAGAAAGUGCCCCUACCUCCCAAACUGUCAAUGAACUACUGGAAGGAUCUACUACUAUUCAAGAUAACUUCUUCUAAGCACAACUACAUGUAACAGUACUUAGCCUGCGCUAUGGUGUCAAAAGGUAGGCUCAUUGGAACAUGCCUAUUUUGAUGGAUUUUAGUUUGUGGGGAUAGUUAAAGUGUAAAGUGUAAAGUGUUUGAUAAAAUAAAUUUGCUAGUUUUAAUAAAUUGGAAUUACUACUGAAUAAAAUGUGAAGCUAGGUAUUAGGAGGAGAAAGAAAGGUAAUUAAUUUAUUUGUAUGACACUAUGACUUACACACUGUGAAGCUUACUGGUUGGGAAUUGUUGAACAGGGGAACUUACUUAAUAGGGGAGAAAGAAUCACACAUAUUACUUGAUGAGAAAAUAUAAUUACAUUAGCCAAAGGCCAAAAAUAUAUGAGUGGUUCACUGAUUGCAUAUUAUUGGAAAGAGAGCUGAGCAUCAUAUGAUUCAUAAACUUUUUACAAUUUAAAGGCCUGGGUCCAAUGAGAUAUGUUGCAUCAUAUUACCUAAUGAACCAAUGAAGUUUAUGGAUUUCCAAAACUUCUUGGAGAGGUUCACUAUUUUAUGGUUCUUUUUUUUGAUAAGUAAAAGUAUUGUAUAAAAACCACCAAUGCAGUGGAAAAAUAAAUACAAGAAAGAACACACUCCCCACUCCCUAGCUAAAAGCCAAGGACAGAGGAGCAGCCCAACACACACCCUUAACGGGUUCUCACCCAACCAACAAAAUCAACUAAGGUCGAGGGACCAUCUUUUAUAGACAAUUUCGUCUCCGACCAAAGAAAAUAUACAAACGAAUACUUAAGCCUUUGAAUAGACAACUCUUCUUCCUCAAAGGCAAUUUUGUUCCUUGCCUUCCAAACCAUCCAAAAAAGACACAAAGGACUUGCUCUCCAAACACCCUUCCUCUUUUUUCCCACAAAAGACCCAUUCCACCCCAACAACGUCUCCUUAACAAUUUUGUUCUUUUUUUUUUAGGGUUCUUUAUUCCAAAACUUUUUGCUCCAUACCUCUUUGGAGCUCAAUUCUUUGGCAAAGCAGGAAGAAAACAAAUUAGCAUCAACUUUAGCUUGACUUGAGAUCACAAAUCCGACUAGAGAUUUUGCAGUAGUGUGUUGAGGUCUAAUCCGAAUCCAGGUUGUGAUGUGUGCAUCAAAGAGUCUUUCCAUAAGCCAUGAAGCUUUGAGGUGUUUUGUGAUGGCAUGACUGGAUAAUGAGAUGCAUUUUGGUCUGAAAUUUGGAGUUCGGUUAUGCAUUUCUGUAUCUAUAUCUCCAAAAUUAUUAACUAAUUUUAAUCAUUUUAUCUAUUUUUCAAAAUAAACAUUCAAAAUUGAAAGUUUGUGUCACGAGUCUUCAGGCUUAUCCGGAAUAGAAUGUCCUGCAUUAACUCUUGCUGUUAAUGCAUAUAAUACCAGGCGAGUCAACACAGCCAUUUGCUUGCUUAUGUUGACUUUCAAUGGGUUAAAAUUUAUGGCUUCAAUGGUUAUUACCAUGCUAACACUAAAACUAUUUUUUUGUUUUUGAUAGGUGUUGAAAUAAUGCCAAAGUUAGGACUUUAAUUUAGGAAUAAAAAAGGAGAGAUCAUUUAGGAUAUUUCCUUAUGAUUUAGUUUCCUAAUUUUAGGAGAGAAUUAAGCUAGAUUGAUUUUUUCUUAUUCAGUCAUUUGUGUAUAUAUAUGUGUAUGGUGUGUACCGAUUAAUCAUCAAUAAAGGAGUUCAGAAAUUCUUCAUGGUAUCAGAGCCAGUUUUCUGAAACCCUAAUCCCUUCUGGCCACCUCUUAUUCAGGCCAUCACUCAUUCCGGCCAAAUCUCUCUAGCCAUAUCUCAAUCCGAUCAUCUCUCUCUCUCUCAUUCCGGUCAUCAGUCCCUGUUCUCAGAGCCAAGGGAGAAAACGCUUUCUGGUCAGUCGAAUCGUCGUCAGAAAACACUCACCGCCGGCAACUUUUCCGGCGAACUUUCCGGCGACUGUUUUUUUUUUCUACACCGCAAGGAGCGCCUGGAGGAGAUCUCCAAUUUGUCCCAAAGCACCGGAACCAGAAACCCAUCCACGCGCCACCCACGCGCGUUUUUCCGCCCGGCGACUGCAUCUCACGCGCCGGCGCGUGAGGGCGCGUGAGCCACUUUCCGACGACGCGCUUCCUCCUCCAGGCUCGCCUGACGCCGACCAGCCACCCUUCUUACCUGUUUGUGCAAUCCGAGCCCUGCACGUGCCUCUUUUGGGGUUCUUUUGCUUCCGCGGGCCCUCUGAUCAGAUUUUCCGGCGUCCUCCGGCUAUUUUUUCACAACUCCAGUCCCUGCACGUGCCUUGGGAAGUGUUCUUCUACCUUUCCGGUCCAUGACAAAAUACGGAAUGGCAUCAUCACAAGUAUCCAGCGUCACGUCACCAGAAUCAGGGGGCAGAUCUGAAAUUCCAAACCUUGGUGGCAAUGAUUCCUCUCCUAUUCUCAUCACAGGACACAAAUUAAAUGGCCAUAACUAUUUACAGUGGUCACAAUCUGUGUUGCUGUUCAUUUGCGGUAAAGGAAAGGAUGAGUACCUCACUGGAGAAGCAGUCAUGCCAGAAACUACAGAACCGGGUUUCAGGAAGUGGAAGAUUGAAAACAGCAUGAUCAUGUCAUGGCUUAUCAAUUCCAUGAACAAUGACAUAGGCGAAAAUUUCUUGCUGUUUGGGACUGCAAAGGACAUAUGGGAUGCAGCCAAAGAAACUUACUCAAGUUCUGAAAAUACUUCAGAACUGUUUCAGGUUGAAUCAACUCUACAUGACUUCCGCCAAGGAGAGCAGUCAGUUACUCAGUAUUACAACACACUCACAAGGUAUUGGCAGCAACUUGACUUAUUUGAGACUCACUCAUGGAAAUGUUCGGAUGAUGCAGCAACAUACAGGCAAAUUGUGGAACAAAAGAGACUGUUCAAGUUUUUCCUAGGACUAAACAGGGAAUUGGAUGAUGUUAGAGGCCGAACCAUGGGCAUUAAACCCCUGCCAAGUCUCAGGGAGGCUUUUUCAGAGGUUAGGCGUGAAGAAAGUAGAAAGAAAGUGAUGAUGGGAUCAAAAGAGCAACCUGCCCCGACAUUGGAUGCCUCUGCCCUUGCUGCUCGGUCAUUUAAUAGUAGUGGUGGAGAUCGUCAGAAACGGGAUAGGCCUUGGUGUGAUUAUUGUAAGAAACCAGGCCAUUAUAAGGAGACUUGCUGGAAGCUUCAUGGCAAACCGGCUGAUUGGAAACCAAAGCCACGGUUUGACAGAGAUGGCAGAGCACACGUGGCUGCCAACUCUGAGAGCACAUUUGUUCCCGAGCCGAGUCCAUUCAACAAAGAGCAGAUGGAGAUGCUACAGAAAUUAUUAAGCCAAGUUGGCAGUGGCAGUACUACCGGUGUAGCCUUCACUGCUAAUCGAGGAGGAAUGAGGCCGUGGAUAGUAGACACAGGUGCUUCUGAUCACAUGACAGGAGAUGCUGCCAUUCUUCAAAAUUACAAGCCAAGUAAUGGUCAUUCAUCCGUCCAUAUUGCUGAUGGUUCAAAGUAAAAAAUUGCCGGGACAGGUUCUAUAAAACUUACUAAAGACUUAUAUCUUGACUCUGUCCUCCAUGUUCCAAACUUGGAUUGUAAUCUUUUGUCCAUUAGCAAAUUGGCUCGUGAUCUCCAAUGUGUUACUAAAUUCUAUCCAAACUUGUGUGUUUUUCAGGACUUGAAAUCGGGGAAGAUGAUUGGCAGUGCUGAACUGUGUUCCGGGCUCUACCUCCUUUCAUGUGGCCAAUUCUCAAACCAAGUCUCUCAAGCAAGUUGCGUACAGUCUCAGAGUAUGUCAGAGUCUUUCAAUUCUGUGUCAAAUUCUAAGGUCAAUAAAGAUAGUGAGAUUAUAAUGUUACACUAUCGCCUUGGUCAUCCUAGCUUUGUUUACCUUGCAAAAUUGUUUCCCAAAUUAUUUAUCAAUAAAAAUCCAGCAUCUUAUCACUGUGAAAUUUGUCAGUUUGCAAAGCAUACUCGAACAGUAUAUCCUCAAAUCCCAUACAAACCUUCGACUGUUUUCUCUCUAGUACAUAGUGAUGUGUGGGGUCCCUCCCGGAUAAAAAAUAUUUCUGGCACUCGAUGGUUUGUGACAUUCGUUGAUGAUCAUACUCGGGUAACAUGGGUUUUCCUUAUGAAAGAAAAGUCAGAGGUCGGACACAUUUUUCAAACCUUCAAUCUUAUGGUUCAAAAUCAAUUCAAUUCCAAAAUACAAGUCCUCAAGUCAGAUAAUGCAAAGGAAUACUUUACUAGUAGUCUCAGUACUUAUCUUCAAAAUCAUGGCAUUAUCCACAUAAGUUUUUGCGUUGACACCCCACAACAAAAUGGGGUGGCUGAACGCAAGAAUAGACAUCUCUUGGAGGUUGCCCGGUGCCUUAUGUUUUCCUCUAAUGUUCCAAACUAUUUCUGGGGGGAAGCUAUUCUCACAGCUACCUAUUUGAUUAACCGUAUGCCAUCCAGAGUGCUUACCUUUCAAUCCCCACGUCAACUUUUCUUAAAACAGUUUCCUCACACCCAUGCCGCCUCUUCUGAUUUACCACUCAAAGUAUUUGGUUGCACGACAUUCGUUCAUGUGUAUCCUCAAAAUCGUAGCAAAUUUGCUCAUCGAGCAAAUAAGUGCAUUUUUCUAGGGUAUUCUCCAACCCAAAAAGGGUACAAAUGCUAUUCUCCAACCAACAAAAGAUUUUACACCACCAUGGACGUCUCUUUCUUUGAACAUGUCUUCUUCUAUCCCAAAUCUCAUGUUCAGGGGGAGAGCAUGAAUGAACAUCAAGUUUGGGAGUCUUUUCUUGAGGGUGUACCUUCUUUUCAUUCAGAGUCACCAAAUCCUUCCCAAUUCGUGCCCACUGAGUUGUCCACACCCAUGCCGCCAUCAGUUCAGCCAGCCCAGCACACAAAUGUUCCUUCUCCCGUGACCAUCCAGUCUCCCAUGCCUAUUCAACCUAUAGCCCCACAACUUGCUAAUGAGAACUUACAAGUUUACAUCAGGAGGAGGAAAAGACAGGAAUUAGAGCACGGAUCACAGUCAACAUGUGGCCAAUAUAUUGACUCCAAUUCAAGUCUUCCUGAAGAGAACAUAGGUGAGGAUAGGGCUGGAGAGGUGUUAAUUCCCAGCAUUGAUGAUUCUACUUUGCCAAUUGCAUUGAGGAAGGGUGUUAGGAGAUGUACAGAUCAUCCAAUUGGGAAUUAUGUUACGUAUGAAGGGUUAUCACCAUCUUACAGAGCAUUUGCCACUUCUCUUGAUGAUACUCAGGUUCCCAACACAAUACAAGAGGCAUUAAAAAUUUCAGAAUGGAAGAAGGCAGUACAAGAUGAGAUUGAUGCACUUGAGAAGAAUGGGACGUGGACUAUCACAGAUUUGCCGGUUGGGAAGAGGCCUGUGGGGUGCAAGUGGAUUUUCACCAUAAAAUACAAAGCAGAUGGAUCAGUCGAAAGAUUCAAGGCUCGUUUGGUAGCUAGAGGGUUUACACAAUCCUAUGGGAUAGACUAUCAGGAGACUUUUGCUCCUGUUGCAAAACUGAACACUAUCAGGAUCCUUCUCUCAUUGGCUGUCAAUCAAGAUUGGUGCUUGCAACAACUGGACAUAAAAAAUGCGUUUCUAAAUGGGGACCUAGAAGAGGAAGUCUACAUGGAAAUACCACCUGGUUUCGAAGAAAGUAUGGCAAAGAAUCAGGUUUGCAAACUCCAAAAAUCCUUGUACGGCCUUAAACAAUCUCCUCGAGCCUGGUUUGAUAGAUUCACAAAAGCAGUCCUGAAGUUGGGCUACAAACAAGGUCAGGCUGAUCAUACUCUAUUUGUCAAGAAGUGUCAUGCCGGGAAAUUGGCCAUAUUGAUAGUCUAUGUCGAUGAUAUUAUUCUAUCUGGGAAUGAUAUGGGGGAGUUACAGAAUUUGAAGAAGUAUUUGUCAGAAGAGUUUGAAGUUAAAGACCUUGGAAAUUUGAAAUAUUUCCUUGGUAUGGAAGUGGCGAGAUCAAGGAAGGGAAUCGUAGUCUCUCAAAGAAAAUACAUACUCGAUCUUCUUAAGGAGACCGGUAUGCUUGGAUGCAAACCAAUUGAUACUCCUAUGGAUAGUCAGAAGAAACUUGGUAUCGAGAAAGAAAGUACACCGGUAGACAGGGGGAGAUAUCAGCGGCUUGUCGGGCGCUUGAUUUAUCUCUCACACACUCGGCCAGAUAUUGGCUUUGCAGUGAGUGCUGUAAGUCAAUUCAUGCACAGCCCCACUGAGGAACACAUGGAAGCAGUCUACAGAAUUCUUAGAUAUUUAAAAAUGACACCAGGGAAAGGCCUAUUCUUCAGAAAGACAGAGAACCGUGACACUGAAGUAUACUCAGAUGCGGAUUGGGCAGGAAACAUCACUGACAGGCGGUCCACUUCCGGAUAUUGUUCUUUUGUCUGGGGAAAUCUUGUUACCUGGAGGAGUAAGAAGCAAUCAGUUGUAGCCAGAAGUAGUGCAGAAGCUGAGUACAGAGCUCUUGCACAGGGAAUCUGUGAAGGGAUUUGGAUAAAAAGGGUUCUUAGUGAACUGGGACAAACGAGUUCAUCUCCAAUUCUGAUGAUGUGUGAUAAUCAGGCAGCUAUAAGCAUAGCAAAGAACCCCGUGCAUCAUGACAGGACCAAGCAUGUUGAGAUUGACAGACACUUUAUCACAGAGAAGGUGACUAGUGAGACGGUCAAAUUGAACUAUGUUCCUACCAAGCACCAAACCGCAGACAUCCUCACCAAAGCUUUACCUAGGCCUAACUUCGAAGACUUAACUUGCAAGCUGGGAUUAUAUGAUAUAUAUUCUCCAGCUUGAGGGGGAGUGUUGAAAUAAUGCCAAAGUUAGGACUUUAAUUUAGGAAUAAAAAAGGAGAGAUCAUUUAGGAUAUUUCCUUAUGAUUUAGUUUCCUAAUUUUAGGAGAGAAUUAAGCUAGAUUGGUUUUUUCUUAUUCAGUCAUUUGUGUAUAUAUAUGUGUAUGGUGUGUACCGAUUAAUCAUCAAUAAAGGAGUUCAGAAAUUCUUCAUGAUAGGUAAAUAAGAGCUUGUAUUAGAAGGGCCCAAGAAACUAGGCAAAGAAGACAAAAAACUUUUCCCCUAACUAGACAUAUGGCCACUCUAUAAAAUCAAUCAUAGACAAAGUAUGAUCCUCCAUAAACACUCUAACCCAAUUUACAAACGUAUACAAAAAGAAAUGUUUUAAAGGUUGGUCGGACUGUUCGAUAUCAUUAAAUGCUCUUUCGUUUCUUUCCUUCCAUAAAGUCUACAUUAAGCAUAAAGGGGCAACCCUCCAAGACUUCUCCCUUCUCUUACCCACAAAGGCACCAUGCCAACCAAGCAAAUCCCUUUUAAUCGAAGAAUGCAAAACCCACUGCACACCAAAAAGGGAGAAAAUCAAACUCCAAAGCAUCGUAGCCUUUCUGCAAAACAAGAUUAAAUGGUCACUGGUUUCCUCUUUCUCUUUACACAAGCAUAUUCAAACUAAUAACUAAUAGUUAUUGGAUUUAAAGCUUGUUUGUUAACGUUCUUCAUGGUUGUGCUUCUAUUUUUAAUCAAUUCUCUUGGCCAUCACCGUUUCCCCCUUAUUAAGAUUGGGUAUUUAAGUUUCAACGAAACAGCCUACUAAAUCCUCAAGAUAGAUCCUAUUUAUAAGGCAUGGGAGUUUUGGUCAAUGUCUGCUUCCAAAAUUCUUAUCCAUAUUUCUAUGAAUUCUUAUGCCAGAAAGUCUACUUCUUGCAGAAUUUUGAUGAUGUCUUGGUUCCUCCUGAUCACAUCAGUAGGAGUUACAAUGAUACAUACUACAUUGACUCUCAAACUGUCUUGAGGUGCCACACUAGGGCUCAUCAAGCAGAGCUGUUGAGGAGGGGACACACUCAUUUCCUUGUGACUGGAGAUGUUUAUCAUAGAGAUUUCAUUGAUUCAACUCACUACCUGUUUUUCAUCAGGUUUCUUAUUUCUGAUUUUAUCAAUGAUUGUUUUCUAUUAACAAGUUUCUUAUGUUUUCUUCAGUUCAAUAAUUUUGCUUCCUGAUCAUGCAGAUGGAAGGUGUUCGUGUCUUCUUUCCAGGUGAUUGGGAGACAUCUGGAAUGGAUGGCACAUCUUAUGUGGUUGAGGAUUUAAAGAAAUGUCUUGACGGUUUGGCGCAGCACUUGUUUGGUAAACUUAGAUCAGGAGAUUGUCUUAAUCAGAUACAAACUUAAUACUAUCAGUUGAUGCUGCAGUGAGAAAUAUGGGUUAAGGAAUUAUUUACCAGGUCUCAUAAUUCAAAAUCUGGGAAAUACAUCAAGUAAAAGGGGAGGAAAAUAAUGAAAUAAUAAAAUAAUAAAUUUAAGUGGGGGAAAGCAAUUCAUGUUAUGCAAAAGCAGUACAGGUUGGUCAUUUAGAAGUCAAAUCAAGAUAGUCCAGAAUAAUAUAGGGAAUUAUUUGUGAUUCUCAAGGUACUUGUUAAGAAUCAUUGACAAAUUACCUAAAGAAACAUUUAAGAGUGCUAUUAUUCUUGAAAUUUCUGAAAUCUAUCAGAAAGGUAGUUUUCAUCUUGGGGUUUACCAUAUACUGUAUAGAAUCUGCGUGGGCUAAAUCUGUUGAAAUUUGCAGGUAAUGUAGAAAUGCACUGGAUUGAUACAUAUUUCCCUUUCACCAACCCAUCAUUUGAACUUGAGAUAUAUUGUCAGGUAUGCUUUUGAUCUAGGUGGUGGUUACAUUUUAGCACUAUAUACUUUGAAUUUCUUUAAAACUUUGUUUUUGAACUAAUUUUCACAGAAACAGGCUCCAUUUCAUUUUUCUGUUUUCACCUUUUGCAAGAAAGGGUAAAAAUCAUUUCAAAAAUGUGAACUUCAGUUUAUUCCAUUGCUGGCAUGUGUGGCUUUCAUCUGUUAUUGAAGACACUAAGAUUCAUAGACUGAUAAUAUUCCAAUGCUUAUAAUAACAGUAAUGUUGGUGAUAAAAUAAUAUAAAAGUAGAAACAAAAUUAGUUGUCUCCCUUUUUUUUCGUUUAGUUUCUUUGUUCUUCUUACCCCUCUGAUGUGGGGAGGGGGUGUGGGGCUCUUUGUUGUCGCCAAAUGUGAAAAAGAAGAGGCAUUAUGUCCUUUUAUUUUGGAUUUACAGGACCUAUUAUGAAGGCAUUUAUGACUUCAAGACUUUUUUGUAUUUUAUUUUAUGGAAGCAUUUUUUUAGCGUCACUAGUGAAGGAGAAAUUCAUAAACAUAUAUACACACAUGCUAGUGGGCAUACACAAACACUGAUGUUCCACACAGUAAUUAAAAAAUUCUUGCUUUGAGGAGUAUCUUUUUCCUGAACUCAUGUCCAUGUCAAAUGGCAACAUGCCAAUGACUAUUUGCCAGCAGAUGGAAUGCUGGCAACACUUUUAUGGAUUGAAUGUUUUCCUUUCCCCUUUCUUUGUAGUGAAUGAUGUGUACUCUUUAGUUGCUCUUACAUAUUUGAUGCAUUGUGCUUCAUGCCCUAAUUGAUGCAGAACAGAAAAGUACCAGAAAAAAUGAUGGGAGUCUAGGAAUUACUUCCAAAAACCUUAGGCUUCGCAUAUAGGUUUAGUUUGCAUCACACAAAAAAGAAACAUUGCAAGCUGGAAGGUUUUGUGUUUUCAUUCAUUGAUCCUUUUAGAAGAUAGAGUGAUCAGCUUUGUAAACUACAACCCUAAGACCCCUAAUACUCUUUGGAACCAAUCACAGUAAUAAUAAAGCUGAGAAAUCAGAAACUUGAACUGAUAAAUAAAAAUUAAAAGGCACUUGCAAAUAUAAAGCAUUAAUGACUUUGGAAAUAAGAACACUCCAAUACCCCCCAUGCCCUUCGGAAAACUCAACCUUGACAAGUUAAAGUCAUGAAAUUUCUCAUAACGAUCACAAUUCAACUGCUGAAAUUCAUUGCUUGUGAUCCACAUACAAUCUCAAAGUGGCCUUUCUCUCCAUUCCACAAGAUGCUUUUGAUAACCUCCUCUUCUGGUUGAAACAAUUUAGUGACCAACAACUUUUCAAUCUUCUCUUUCAAUCAAGGGGCUGGUAGAAGAUGACCAUUUGGACCAUUAAUUGAUGUAGCAGCUUUAGGAUUAGGAAAAAGGGUGUGGUCUUCAAUAUUAGAGAUCUUAUUAAUGCCCAUAUUUUCUGGCAAGUCAAGUACAUAAGCGUUGGGACUUGUUUUCCUGAGAAUUUUAUAGGGACCAACAUUCUUUGAGUGGAGUUCUUAUAGGCACCUCUAGGAUAUUGUUCAGGCCUUAUUCACACAAUAACCAUAUCACCUUCAAUAAGUUCAGCAAAUUUUCUUUUCACAUCAUCGUAUGACUUAUUUAUUUAUUUGAUAGGCAAGCGGGAAAAACAUGUAAUCAUAUGACUUAUAAUUUCAUUGAUGAAAACAAGUUUCAUUGAACAUGAUAAUGUAUGCCAUCUAUAUGCUCACUAAAAGCAUCAGAUUCAAUGCUAGGUCAUGCAUCCAUUGGUAAAGGAACCAAAUCCAUAGGCUUUCUAGGAAGUGAUUCAGUCACAAUCUCAAAUGGACUGUGACCAAUAGACCUGUUCAGGGAGCUAUUAUUUGCAAAUUCGGCCAUUGAUCUGAUCUCCAGCUAGGCAGUGAAGUAAAUGAUCCAAGCUUCAAUUAACGACUUCUAUUUAGCCAUCUGUUUGAGGGUGAAAAGCAAAAGAAAACUUUAGUUUGGCAUUCAGUAUUUUCCAUAAAGUUCACCAGAAGAAACUCAUGGACCUACCAUCCAGUUUAGGAAAAUCAUGAAGGCGAACAAUUUCCUUGAAGAAGAGGUUUUUUUUUUUUUUUGAUAGGUAUUCCUUGAAGAAGAGUUUAACAAUUAGGCAACAUCUUUAGUCCUUAAGCAUGGGAUAAAUUGUACCAUCUUGGAGUAAUGAUUUACCACUACACGUAUGCAAUCAUGUCUCUGACAGUUUUCGGCAAACCAGGGACAAAAUCCAUGCAUAGGUCUAGCCAUGGCUCAUGUGGCACAGAAGUGGCAUGUAUGGAUCUGUAUUCUUCCUUUUCCUCUUUGAUAAUUUGCAGGUUCGAUGUCUGGAGACAUUCUUAGCCACAUCUUUUUCAGACUUGGUCAAUAAAAAUGAUUUUCCACCAUUGUAAUGGUUUUAUCUCUUCCAAAAUGACCAGUUGUUUCUCCAGCAUGAAGUUCCAAUAUUACUUGCUCAUGAAAUGAUGUUUUGGGUAAGCAAAGCCGAGUCCCUUUGAAGCAAUAUCAAUCAUGUAAAAAAUCACCAUAUUCUCCCGAAUUUCUAGGCACUAAAGCAACACAUAUAGUGCUAAAAUCUUUGCAAGAAGGAUAAGGGCUCUUAAACGAGUCAAAUCCAACAACUUGUACAGCAAUAGAAGAAAGAGUGUAUGCCAAUUUGCUAAGAGCCACUGCAAAGAAUUCUUUGUCAUAGAUACAAUAUUUCUGCUUUGCUUCAUUAAGAUUUUUGCUGAGAAAUGCAGUAGGGACACCUCUAACUCUUAUAUUUGAUGCAUUGCAUGCCGCUUCUAACACCUCCCGGAAAAUUGGAAGCUGCAAAACCAGUGCUUCAAUUAACGUUUUUGCCUUGGUCCAAUUCAACUGAUUUUUCUUCAUAGAAUAAGUUAUAGGGGCUGUAACAUUGCUGAAACUUAUGAUGAAAUGUCCAUGGAACAUUUCUAGCCCAUAGUAACUUUGUACUUAUUGUGAUGUGUUGGGAAUUAGGAUGGCUUUUACUUCAUUCAUACUUCCAAUCCUUUUGCCAAAACAAGAAGCCUAAGAAUACUACUGCUGAGAUCAUGAAAGAGCAUUUCUUCAAAUUUAUGUAGAGCUUUUCUUGGGGAACAACUGUCAUAACUUGCGAUAGAUGAGAGAUGUGAUCUCCUUUGGUCUUGCUGUAAUUAAGAUGUCAUCAAAGUAAACAACCAGGAACUUUUCAAUAAAUGGCUGAAGUACUUGAUUUAUGAAGCACAUGAAUGUGCUAGGGGCAUUUGAAAGGCCAAAAGGCAUGACUAGCCACUCAUAGAGGCCAUCUUUUGUUUUAAAGUCCGUCUUCCAUUCCUUUUCCAGUGUGCUGCUUAUUUGAUGAUAUCCACUCUUUAAAUCCAUCUUUGAAAAUAUGCAAGAGCCAGCCAUCAUGUCAUAUCUAACAUGUGAUUGAAUCAAGGGAUAGGAAACUGAUACUUGAUGGCUAUCUUGUUAGUAGUGUGACUGCCAACUACUAUCUUUUUUUGGUGUUAGCAAGGCAGGGACAGCACGAGGGCUUAAACUUUCAUGAAUAGUUCCCUUGGGCAGCAGCUACUCCAAUUGUCCUUUUAGUGCUUCAUGCUCACUUGGAUUCAUAUGAUAGGCUGGAAGAUUAGGCAGUUGAGGCCUUGCCAUAAAAUCUAUAAGCAUGCUGGAUGUUGCACAGAGAGGAAAGUUUUUGAGCAACAUCUAUGGUAGGUCUUUUCGAGCAACAUCUAUAGUCAUCAGGAUCAUAGGCUCUAUAAUCAAAUGAAUUUCGGUUUCUUCAUCUUUUUGUUGUUCUUGUUGUUCUUGUUGUUCUUCAUGCUCCAUUCCGAUGUACAAAUUGUUCUUUGGACAAUUUAGGUUAUUUGGCCGGGUUGUUGACACUUAAAACACCUAUUAACCUUACCCUUAGGGUUAGCGGCAUUAGAAGAAUACAACUUAGACCCUGUAGGUUGGACAAAUGGCUCGGAUUGGCCUAUUCUUGCACUGCAACCUACAUCAGUGAACCUCCUCUGCACUGGUUCUAUGGAUGAAACUCACAUCCCAGGUACGCCUCCAUAUCUAAUGCAAAUUGAAAAGCUUUUUCUAGGCUGUAUAAUGGAUGAUGCAUCAACUCUCUUCUCAUUUUAGGUCUCGAUCCAGCUUUGAAUCAUGCAAGAGUUUGCCCUUGGGUCUUCUACUAUUUGACUCCAAGUCUUUAGCUCAUGUAAUCUUUGCAUGUACUUUGGUCUCUGCAACAGACAUGUUGUUUUGAUUCAUAGUAAUGAGGUGAUUACAUAACUUAUUACAAUAAUUGGUCCUGCAUAUAUUUUUCACAUAGCUUAUCCUUCAUCUCCUGCCAUGUGCUGACAGGUGGUAGCCUCAUCUUCCCAUCUUCCUAGUAUCUCUUUCAACAUCUAUCCACUAAUCUUUUGCUAGGCCUACUAGUUUCAUUUUAGUAAACCACCCUCUCUGUUCAUCAUUCAUACAUACCAAUCAAAACAGUCCUCAAUUGUAGCUAGCCAAUCAACAAAUUGAGUAGCAUCGCCCUUCCUUCAAGUUAGGAACUUCUCCUUUUACUUUCCUUGUGAUAUCUUCAGCAGUUUCACAAGGUUUACACCUUGUUUCAGGUAGUCCUCUAGCCCAUUCAGAUAUAGGAUAUUGUGGUGCAUGUCCGAUGUUCCUCCAAGUUUUUGUUGUUAUUAAUUUGAGAUAAUUCUCCUUGCACAACACGUGCUAAAUCAUUAGUGGGCUGAGAUAUUUGUGUCUCAAUGUUGCUUAGUUGAAUAUGCAGGCUAUCAAGCUGUUCCAUCACCAAAAUAGUAUCUCAUCAUGUUGAUUAUUAGAUAAAUCUAUUUUGAAACUCCUCCUAGGUCUUGUAAUCAUGAUCUCAGCUUGCUCUGAUGCCAAAAUUGAUGCCAAACAGAAAGGUAAUAGAAAACAUGUUGGGACUCUAGGAAUCACUUCCAAAUCUUAGGCUUCACACUUAAGUUCAGUUUGCAUCACACAAACAAGUUGAACUGUCACAGUACGAUUGGUUCAUAAUAAGGUGUCAUCUGAUUGGUUCUCGUGGAGGCAACCUGUGAUUGUUCAAACUGGAGGCUGCACCUGAUUGAUUACAUUGAAAGUUGGAAGGUUUUGUAUGAGAUAAAUGAACCAACUUUAUCCACUAUAACUCUAGACCUUAGACUCUUUUGGAGCUAAUGGCAAUACUAAUGAAGUUGGAAAAUCAACAAUGUGAACUGAUAAAAAAAAUUGAAAGACUCUUGAAAAUGUAAAGCAUUAAUGAUUUUGGAAAUAAGAACACUUGUGAUCCUUUGACUAGACUCAUAAACAAAACUUAGACUGAAAUCCACAUUGAAGUAUAUAAAAUCCCAACUGGGCCUAUUAUCAUCCUAAGUAUACCAAAUCAUAAUUUGGGCCUUAAGAGUCCAAUCUCUAUGCAUUUGUUAACCUUUCACAGGUGAUUGCCACUUGUCUUCAUCGCUAACAAACACGAUUAUAGCAUCAGAGAAGAGCCAUGUCCCCAAAUCUGGCAGUAAAAGUUCUUUUUACAAGCUAACCUCAGGGAUCCAAUUACUACAUUAUUGUGUUAACCAUGAGCAUUGGUGCUCCUGUUCUGCUUGCAUGGUUACACUGAACCUGCUAUCCAAAUGUGUUGGUUGACCGAAUGAGAAACUCUAGGAAAAUGAAUGAAUUCAUAGUGACAUAGCAACAUUGAAUGCAACUUGUGUGUUUGUGUGAACAGGAUUGGGCGAGUUAAAGAGAGUUUUUAGAAGGGAUAAUACCUUUUUAAUUGGUCUUAGUGUUCAGUAUGCAGCUGGUUCAGUGAUCAGGAGGCCAGUUUAUAAUACAAUUUUCUUGAGAUUUUUAUUGAAGUGAUCCCUUGAAAAGUCAGGCUACUUUUCCAAGAAGUAAAUAUUUUAUCUUGUAGGUUGUAAAAGAUGCAUUCUCAGAAUAGGUGCCUUGAUUAUGUUUCUUCAGCAGAAGAACCUACAAUUAGGAUCCUGUGUAUAUCCUUUCUUGGAAUUUUCAUAAAUUUACCAGUAUUAACUUCCUAUUUUAGGACUAACUGUUCAGAAAAUCUAUGGAAAAGACUAAAGAGUAAGUACUAAGUAGAACCUCCAAGGGCUGCUAAAAAGCACUUCCCAGGGCCAUGAGCCAAAACUGGGCCAUUUGGAAAGGGGUUGUAACAAGUCACUUGACUAGGGGUUGUUAGAGGCCAUCAUUAGCCAAGAUUGGUUUUAGAUUCAACUUUAGGAAUUUAUUUAUUUUUCCUGAUUUCUCUUUUAUUUUUAGUUACAUAAUCAUAUUUGACUCUUGCUUUCCACUCUAAAUUCACAAUAUGUGAACCUUAUGAUAGAAAUUUUUAACUUCAGAACAUGAGUUGGGAUGUAUCAGAGAAGAAAGUUUCAAAUCCCUGGACUAGCAUUUCUGUAAUGCCUCAAUGAAAUUUUAUUGUAUGAUUAUCUACUUGAAGUAGCAAACCAUUAUCCUUUUAUUGCCAUUGAAUUGUGAAACCAUUAUGCCAUUACAUUGACAUCUCCAAAUGAAUUAUUUUAAUUUGAAUAGUUUUGCAUUAACUUAUUAUUUGACAAUCAUUGCCUAUAGUUUUUUGGCAGAACACUAUGAUCUCACUAAGCAACAUCCAUUGAUAAUUUAUCAGGAGAAAUGGUUAGAAGUUUUAGGUUGUGGGGUGACAGAGCAAGAAAUAUUACAGAAAAGUGGUAAAACAGGUAAUGUUGCUUGGGCUUUUGGGCUUGGAUUGGAACGGCUAGCAAUGGUUCUGUUUGGGAUACCUGAUAUUCGGCUUUUCUGGUCAACUGAUGAGCGGUUGACCUCUCAAGUAAUUCCCCAAUUCAGUAAAUGAUACUGUAUUUUAUUUUAUUCUCCUUUUCUGUCUUUGUGGUUAAGUAAUCAUUACCAAAAUUGAUAUCCUUAGGAAAAUAAAGCAUGCUGAAAAUUGACCUUGUUGACAUUCUUAAUGUCUGAUUUAGGUUCCCUGAAUGUUUAAUUUAAAUGCUUUGUAUGCAGUUCUCAAAGGACCAGCUUGGGGUCAAGUUCAAGCCAUUUUCAAAGGUAUUGCUUAUAUUUUUCUCAGUUUGAUAAUAGUAGUAUCUUCUUCUGAUGUUGUGUUAAUUGAAACUGUUGCAUAAUUUUCAUGCAAAAGGAUCCAAGACAUUUUGGGGGCCGGCAUUUCUAAGUAUAACCAGAAAAAGUCCUUUAUGCAAAUAUGUCUUUUACAUUCUGAAAUCGAAAAAAUUAAUUACACACAACAUAAUAACUAAAUAUUUAUACCUGUUAGAGCCCCUUGUAACCUUCUCUAUUGGCUGCUAGAAACUGACUAUUGUCUUUUUGCAGUAUCCUCCUUGUUACAAGGGCAUGAGUUUUUGGAUUAAUGAGUCGUUCACAGAAAACAAUUUAUGUGAGGUUGUAAGAGGAGUUGCUGGAGAUUUUGUCCAGGAGGUAUGCCUUUUUAUGUUUCUUCUUGUAAAUUGUUCAUUAGCUAUAGAUCUCUUCAUGGUUCACUUGGUAGAAUUUUCCUAACCAUUUGUAUAGUUACACUGAAAGCACCGAACCAAUUUGUGUUUUAAUUAGGGGUGUGCAGGGUUUGGUUUGUUUAGUUUCGAACUUUAAAAUAAAACCAAACCAGUCUAAUUGGUUUUAUGUAUUAGGAACCCAAGCUGGCCUAAUCGGUUUUAUGUAUUAGGAACCAGACUAAUUGAACUGAAAGAGGGAACUGAUCGGUUCAGUUCAGUUUAAUAGCAAUAAUUGAUAUAAGUUAAUUUACUAUAUUUCGGUCAAGAAAUAAAAUAAUUUUUUUUUUUUUAAUCAAUUUGGGUCGAAACCAAAAAGCUCAUAAUAGGACAUUGUUGGUCAAAAAGCUUAUAAUAGUUUAUUACAACAAGUUGCUUUAGAGUUUGCUCAAAUUACAUCAUUGUAACUCAUUUCAAAUCAUAUUAUUGUAACACAGCCGCAUGAAUAACUGUUGUUAUAGUCUAUGCUUAUCAUACUAAGUUUGGUUUGGGAUUCUAUCGAGUGUGAAAGAAGUGCACCAAAUUAAUAAGGUAACCAAUGGUUAUUGUAUAUUAUAGGUGUAUGUAUAUAACUUUUGAUUUGGUUUGGUUUAUUAUUUGUUUUCUAAAUGGCAUAGUUCAGUUUUUUUUAGAAAACCAAAAUUGUUGAAAAAUCUUUAAAAAUUGAUUGGUUCAGGCCAGUGUGGCUCAGUUCUAUCAUUUUUGUCCAUUUAAUCGGUUUUUAACACACCCCUAGUUUUAUUUCACUUUUCAGUUCUUGGACUUUCCAUGAAAAUAAUAUUGUUGUCAUGAAGCUACUGAGGCAGUUAUGGACCAAUUCCAUCCUCUGAAUUUGCUCAUAAAAGAGAUCCUCUCUCUUCUCUUCUUUUCUAUCUACCAUCAGUUGCAAUAAUAGAUCCAGUUUGCACAAAGCCAAGCUUAGAAAAUCUGGUCAUUGACAACCUGAAUAGUCUCUGGGAGCAUCCAGUAUCUUUUCUCCUUUGUGAGGGUGGAUAACUGGUCUGGGUCCCCUGCAUCAUUUUUCAUAGGUUGCAGAGCUGCUGUGUCCGUAUAGGAAAUAACAUGUUCUUCCUUCAUAGCUUUAAGUGCCAUCAGGAAUUGGAUAUGCUAAUAUGAGUGGGAGGACUCCAGAUGGUGGACUUACGAAGACCUCCACUCUGAUUCAUUGAUGCCAAACAUAUAAUUGUGAUAAAGAGAGGCUUCGGAAGUUGAUAUUCUUUUAAAGUGUUUCCAAUAUUGAAGGUUUAUAAAGAGGUUCAAAUUGAGAAAUUACUAUUCUCUAAAUAAUAGGAUCGUAGUCGGUUUUUCGUUCAAAAUUUGUCCUAUAUUCCAAGAUGAUUGUUGACAAUCUGAUCUAUAGUUAAACAGUGGCCAUAAUAAGUCCCUAUUUUCCUAGUGCCUGAAAGUGAAGCUCCAUUCUGAAGUUUUCUAAACUAUAAGAUACAUUUUUGACUUCCAGGUGCAAUUGAUCGACAAUUUCACCAACAACAAAGGAAUGACCAGUCAAUGUUAUCGGAUAGCAUACCGGUCCAUGGAGCGUUCACUUACAGAUGAGGAGAUAAAUGAGUUGCAGGUAUUUCAUGUUUAGGGGAUUUUGUACAAGUGAUUAAUAUUUCGUCUUGAUUACAGGUAAUGACUAAUAACCUGGAAUUUGGCUAUGAUUCUGGGGUGCAGUGGAAUGUUAGGGAGCAAGUGCACAGCAAGUUGAAGGUUGUUCUUAGAUGAGAUUUCUGAUGCUGGGAACCUAAUUUUUCUAUCUCACUCUGAUAAGUCUCCUUGUGAACAUUUUCUAUUAUUAUUCUUUUUGUUCCUACCUUUUACAUUUUGAACUAGGUACAGUUGGGAAAUUAGGCAUUCAAAACCAGCUUUAAUGGGAGAAACACUUUAGGAAAAUAAGGAAAAUGUACUAGAAAGAAUAAUGCAUACGUUGAUCAAUGUGAAAUUUAUUUUUGUAUACAAUGUUUCUCUAAUAAUUUUAACAAUGCCUGACCUUAAAUAUAGUAAUUAAUUGCUCUUUUGCAGUUGUAUUCCCUUUUAUUUUAAUUUUUAAAUUUUUUUUUUUUUUUUAAGAACAUCACAAACAACUAUUUUAUUAUAUUAAAAUAGUAGGUACAAAGCAAGAUGAGAAAUCUUCCCAAUUAGUAUAAAACACCCUUAUGCAAUAUUUAUGAAAAUAGGUGUAUAGUGUCCAAAAAGAUCAAUUUAUCUUAUAGGCCAAACUGGUUUGGACAAUGCUCACUAUAGAUCCAUAAGGUAAAAAAAUCUCUUAUAGAAGAAACCGAAUGUCUUCCUCCAUGCUUUGCUAACACUCCCAGCACAAUUGCUUUAGCAAUGAACAGCAAUGAACCUAAUAAAAUGGCCAUAUCAUUUCUGAUCUAAUAUCAAUGAUUUGAAGUUAUGACCCCUCAAACUUCUAGGGUUCUCUUUUUUUUUUCCUUGGUCAUCCGUGAUAUUAGAAUGGUAGAAGCUACUUCUAAUAGGAGAUUGGAGAGGCCUAAAGCUUUUGCUUGCAAUAAACUCUCUAGAAAGGUUAGGAUCUUUGCCUCAAUGGCUAAACUCUGACUUGCAUAUAUAGAGAAUUCUCUUAUUAUUAUACCAAAGUGGUCAUUGAGUAACUCUCUAAUCCCCAACUCCCCUAGUUACCCAAAGAACCCCAUUAACAAUUAGCAUAUAACUUAUGCAGCACAUGCUACACUGAUGGAGCCUUUAGGAACUAUUUUCAUGUUUGUUAGGCUAAUUCAUCCUCAAUAUUAUGUCAAUGCCAACUUUUAGCUUGAGUUUGAAUUGCCUAUAUUAUGGAAAGAAAAUAAGAUAGGAAGAAACAUGAAAUUCUCUUGUUUGAUUUACUAUAAAAAAAUAUGAAGAAAAAUAAAAUAUAGUAGAAAUGACUUAAAACCGUUAUACGUUCAAAUUCUUUAGUUUUUCUAUGAUAGAAAAAUAAAUUUGAAGAAGCAAGUAACUUUAGUUCAAAUUCAUUUUAUUGGGUAAUCAUUGUUUUUAUUACCCAUCUCAAGUUGUUAAGUCUUUCAAGCCUUAAAACUGAUUAGAGGUGAUUGUGAUAUCCUACAUGGGAUAGGGAAAAAAGUUUAUGACAUUAUACAUGUAUACAUUUCUUUUAAUAAUAUAGACACAUUUAAAGUCACGAGGGAUCAAAAUGAACGAUAUCAAUAUAAAAUGAGAACAAUCUAUUACAAUUAUACUUGCAAUAACCUUAAAAAAUUUGGAUACAUAAAACUACAAUCAUGUUUUUGUUGGGAAAAACGGUGUAGUAAAUACUUUUUUGUUGUUAUAUUAUAAAAACCAUAAAUUUCUAAAUUUCCGUUUCCUUUUCAAUUCUUUAUAUGUUUAAAAUUUUCAUCCAAACCAAGAUCCAAGAAAAACUUAAAACAAAGAAAAAAUGAAAAAUUAAUUUAACAUGUAUAAUUUUUUAAUAAGAAUUUAUAAUUCAUAAUUCAAACGAUAUUGUGAAUUGUAGACACUGGAUUAUACUUAGAGAAUCAUUCAAAGAAUGACGGUCAUGUGAAUGACAUAGGAUACCCAUUGCGUGCAUGUGACAUCUACUUCAUUUAGAGUCAGUUUGACAAUUAUUCUAAAAAACGUUUUUAGUGUAAAACAUGUUUUUGAAAAAAAAAAUUAGAUGCUUGACAAAAUUUAUGAAACACUUUUAAGAAUCUAAAAAAUCACGUAUAGUGUUUUAUGAAGAAAAACUUAAUAAAAAGUGAUUAUCCUCAAAAUACUUUCAAAGAAUACUUUCAUUAAAAAUACUUUAAAUAAAAACACUACAAAACAUACCUUUGAUUCAUUAUAAAGUAAUUUUCAUAUUUUAUAUAAUUAGACCCAUGCGAUUUGUCCACUAUUCAUGAUGAAUUUCCCUAUUUUAUAUAAGAACCCAUGAGAUUUGUCCACUGUUCUCUUUUCCAACUCUUCCAACUUCUUAUCUAAUAUUUAAAAUUGAUAAAUAUGAAUCCCUUUACCCUAGAGAAUAGUUCUAAGUGAACAGCUUAGCUUAUUUCAGUUUUCAUCUAAAGCAUAAUAGGUAUUCAUUUUACAUUCUAAUUCAUCUCCAUUCUCAUCCUAUUCUUCUUAGUCGGACAUGCCAAACACAUCCUUAAGCCAAGGAUGAACUUAUCGGUUAUGACUAAUAUAUCGAUAAUUUAAUUUUAUGGAUGUAUUGAGAUACAUGGAGAAAUAUCGGUGGAUAUUUUGAUAUAAAAUAUAAGUAAGAUAAAUAGAUUAAAAUUCAUGAAAAUGUUAAAAGAAACUUUAAAAAUGAUAUAAUAAAUAACAAUAAAGAUUUUAAAGUUGGUAUACUAACGAAAAUGAUAUAUGUAUGAUAUAGUUUAUCAAAUUUGAUAAUAAUAUAUGUGUGUUAAUAAAAAAUUAUUAUUUUGAUAUGUCAAAUAUUAUUCGAGAAUAAUGUUGCAACUUUUGUUUAUAAUACAAGUAAUUUUAAAAUAUAAUUAAUAUUAAAAUUGUGAUCUAUUUAAUUCAAUUAUAUAUAUAUAUAUAAAAUUUCUUUAACAUUUAGUAAAUAUAUUAAUGAUAUAAAAAAAGCUCUGUGAAGAAAAUUGUCAUCAUAAUUUUUAUGCCUUUUGUAUUCAAUUAAAUGAAAACUUUCAUUUAAUUAUCAAAUGAUUAUAAUUAAUUAAUUUAUUAAAAUAUUCUUAUAAUAUUUAUUUUUAUAAUGGCUUUUAAUAUAUAUAUAUAUAUAAUUGGUCGUCUUUUGUCUAGAAUUCGAAUUUACCGUGUUGACCAUGUUUGAUCAAGAAUAUUACUCGAGUUUUGACCACAUUUGAUGAUUGAGAAUGUCAUCGAUGUUUCGUGAUUUUUUAAUCCUUACCUAAAACAUGACAUUUUAUUUCGUUUUUAUUCUCAUCCUAUUCUAAUUUCUAAUCUGACAUACCAAACACAUCUUACGGUCUUCAAAGGUUUUGUCCAAGGUCUAACUCCCAAAGAAUUGGUGUGGUGAUCAUUAUUUUUGUUAGCCAUCAAAAGUCGUUGGAUCUUUCAAGUCCAAGGGAAAAAAAAAUUAAGCAUUUUUUAAAUAAACAUACCAAUUUAAACAUUUUUUUAAUAUAUAUAUUUUGGUAGCUUUCGUAUCAUGAUGUUGACAUCGUUUAAAAUUGGGAAACUUGUGUUUUGGUCCUCUGAUAUAAAAAAUAUAUGCUUUUGGAAACUAAAAUAUAUGAAAUAUGAAAUCCAACUAUUAAUGGGAAAAAUGAUAUCGGAAACGUGCACUAUGUCCUGUUUACUUUUCCUCUUCCCAUAUUGCCCCUAAAUUUCCCCAUGUCAUUAGCAAGUCCUCUCCAUGUUAGCAGAAUAAUCUGAAACUUGAACUAAUUCUCAAAGUUGGAACAUAAAAAAACCCAACCCUAGAACCAAAAGUAUGGAAACUCGUCUACGUUACUGAACAAGGAAGUGUCAAAAUGUGCCUUUUAUUGUGCCUUUGCCUGAGACGACUUAGUAGGCGCUUGCCUUAUGCCCUAAAAAUGAAUAGAAAAGAAUUAAUGGCUUGGAUUGUGUACCAACAACCAAUCUCCAUAAAAGUCAUUUGCCUUGAGUUGGUAAGGGAACUUGCUGCAAUUCAAUCUAGGGUUAUCAUAGAUCAUCUAUUUUAGCUCUCAAUGUUGUUUCAGGUAACAUAUUUGAAUGAUAUUUUAUGAAUUUCAUUUAAUACAAUAUGUGUUCUAAAUGAUGCUUCUUUUUUUAUAAUUAGAGUUAAUCUCUAUUUACUUUUCUUAGAUUUUACCAACUGUAGUUAGAAUUCCUCCAGUUCAUCUUUUAAAGAAAAAACAACAUUCGGUUGAUUAUGGGUGUUGCAAUUUCUAUUGGAUGUGUGAGCAUCAUACUAAUAUGUGAAGUUUUUUACAUAAAAAGGAAAUCUUUAGAUGUUAAUGAGGAUGAAGGCACUUCUUUUGCUCAAUAUUACUAAAUUUAAGCUUCAGAUGUCAAUGAGAAUGUCAAUGGGCUUUUUUCUACAGAUGUCAUGGUAGCAUCUUUAGUUAGUAUUAUUUGCUGCCCAAUUAUAGAAGACCCAAGAAGCUGGAUGGGCUUGAGAUGCAUGGAGUGGUAGUUGAGUGAUUUAUCUUAAUGUUCUUGAUUCAACUUUUUGCCUGUAAUAUAGCAAUGACAUUUCCCUAAGAAUAAAGUCAUCUCCAAAGAAUCUUUGCACAAAUACACAAUGAUCAUAAGUUGUCUUGUUGUAUCCUUGCUUCUCCAUAAUUGACUCAAACUUCUUGUAUCAUUGCCUAGGUGCCUGUUUCAUGCCAUAAAGACUUUUCUUCAAUCUAUAAAAAUAAUCUUCUUGUCCUUUUACUUUGAAUCCCUUUGAAGGCUCCAUGUAUAUCUCUUUCUCCAAGUCACCAUGGAGGAAAGCAAUUUUCAUAUCCAUUUGUUUAAUCUCUAAGUCAAGACUAGCUGCAAGACCAAACACUACACAAAUGGAUGACAUUUUCACAAUUGGAACAAAGAUUUCUUCAAAGUCAAUGCCUUUCUUCUAGCUAAAUCCCUUGACAACUAGUCUAGCCUUGUAUCUUGGGUAUGAAGUGUGUUCUUCUUGCUUCACCCUGUACACCCAUUUGUUUUCCAAGGCUCAUUUUUCCUUUGUGCAGCUUCAUUAACUCAAAAGUGUGAUUAGCAUGCAAGGACUUCAUCUCAUCUUGUAUAGCCUCAAUCCACUCUCUCUUCUACUUACUCUCUAUAGUUUCUUCAAAGCUCUUAGGUUCUUCCCCAUCAAUGAAUAUGACAUACUCUUUUAGGGAGCAUCUUGUGGAAGACUGACGAUUCCUGGUAGACCGUCUAGAUGAGACUAUAGGAGUAGCUUGUGGUACUUGUGGCUAGUCAAUAACUUCAGAAUUUAUAACCUCUAUAGGUUCUAAAUCAUCACUUGCACCAUGUGGUCAUUUUGUGUCUCAACAUCAAGUUGAUUUGCCAUUGGUGUUAAAGAAAUUAUUUCCAAGUCAAUCAACUUGUCACUACUAUCAAAUUUUGCUUUCUCCACUUCAUCAAGGUCUAUUAUUGUCUAGUCUUCCAUAAAUACAAUGUCUCGACUUCUAAUCAACUUAUUCUCAACUGGAUUAUACAAUCUGAACCCAAAUUCAUUUUGGCCAUAACCCACAAAUACACACUAGCGUGUCUUCACAUCAAGCUUGGACCUUUCAUCUUUAGGAAUGUGCAUAAAGGCCUUACAUCCAAAGACUUGCAAAUGAUCAUAGGAAACAUCUUUGCCUAUCCAAACUCUAUCUAGCACAUCAAACAACAAAAGAAUAGAAGGUGAGAAAUUCAACACAUGAACCACUAUAUUUAAAGCCUCACCCUAGAAAGAUUUAGGCAACCUUGCUUGUGAAAGCAAACAUAUCACUCUCUCAACCAAUGUUCUAUACAUCCUUUUAGCCAAACCAUUCAAUUGCGGUAUCUGUUAGCCUAAGGGCUCCUAAUCGGGUUUUGAUGAUAACAAACCAUGGUUAAGUGACUAAUUGGUUUAAUGAUUAAGAAUCUUAGGCAUAAACUCGAAAAUUCAUCAAAUGACCAAAUGGAUACAAGAUCGAGACGCUUGGAAGACUUGUGAUCAUAGGAAACAAAUGUAAGAUGAAUGCAUGAGUGCACUUAGGAUUUUCACACGUUUCAUGCAACUUAGAAAACUCGGUUUAUUCUUUAAAACUUUGAUUUCAUUAAAACCCGAGUUUUUAACUAAUGUACCUUAGGCAAAAUGUUUUAUAAUUGGUUUAAUAAUUCACCUAUUGACCUUGCCUAAGUGUUAGAAAAGAAAGAAAAUAAAAAAAAUAGGUUUUCGAGGCCAAAAAGGCUCAACUGGUCGAGGCUAUGGCCAAUCGGCUCAACCGGUUAAGGAACCGCUCGACUGGUUGUGCUCGUCCGGUUGAGGGAUGCGAAAAACUUUCUCUCUCUCCCAGUGGCCUUCUCUUUCUAGUCGAAGUGAUUCUCUUCCCGAUCGAUGUCCGAUCGAGGAUCGGUCGAGGUUCGGUCGAGGCAACGGUAACCUAUCAAGCAUUAAAUUCUCCAACGGCUAGUGAACCAGUCGACCCCUAGCUCGACCGGACGAGGUUACCUUUUGCUGUUUUUGACUCCUGAGCUUAGAAACCUAUAAAUUGAGAGCUCCACUUCAUUUAUUGAUAAGAGAACACUUGCAUUCAAUAGUCUACCUACUUGUUCUUGAUCAAAAAGUUCUCAUUUCUUUCAUAGUGCAUUAAAUCACCACUUGCAUAUCCUUUAGUGCACUCUUGUGUGUCAUCCUAGCUUUGUCUUAUAUUUAAGCUAUCCUUAAGCUAGGUUGAGGGAUUAUUUCUUGUAAAAAUCUGGGUGUUAAAGCCUUCAAGAGGUUUGAAUCUUGAAGAGAUUGUGUAAGAGCCCAUUGAAGCCGGAAUCCAAGUGUAAGAAGAUUGGAAGCUUGGUUGAAGCUUCAAGUUAGUGGAACCCACACUUAGUUAGGAGAUUGAGGAGAGUGGAUGUAGGCAAGGAAGUGCCGAACCACUAUAAACUCGAGUUUGAAUUCUCUAGCUCUAUCUUUUUAUUUUGCUUAUAUUGUGUUUGAAUUUGUUGUGAUUGAAAAGUUUUUAAAAACCCAAUUCACUCCCCCCCCCCCCUCCCCCCUCUCCCCUCUCCCUUUUGGGUGCUUUUCUUAAUUAAGCAUAGCCUUUGUUUUCUCAAUUGGAAUUAGAGCUAGACCUCUUGUUUUUUAAAGACUUAAUCAUCUAAGAGGAAAUGGCUAUUCCAUCAAGCUCAUCCCAAGCUGAAAAUUUUUCAAAACAUAGAGCUCCAUUCUUUACGGGAACCGACUAUCCCUAUUGGAAAACUAGAAUGACUUGGUAUUUGCAAUCUACAAAUUUAGAUGUAUGGGAUGUCAUUGAAGAUGACCCAACUUUUCCCACUAAAUUAGUUGAUGGAGUUUUGGUUCCAAAACCCGAGUAAGAAUGGAAUGAGCUUGAUAGAAGAAACUUUCAAUUAAAUGUUAAAGCCGUUUUUACUUUGCAAUGUGCUAUGGAGGUUGCUUGAAAUAACUCAUGAAGGAACUAAUCAAGUGAAAGAGUCAAAAAUUAAUUUACUUGUUCAUAAGUAUGAAUUGUUUUUAAUGAAAGAAAAUGAGACUACUAUUGAGAUGAUUACUAGGUUCACUGACAUUGUCAAUGGUCUUGAAACUUUUGGAAAAACCUGCAAGGAAUCCGAGAAGGUGAUGAAGAUAUUGAGGUCUCUCCCAUCAAAGUGGCAUACCAAGGUCACCACAAUUCAAGAAGCAAAAGAUUUGACUAAGCUACCUAUGAAAGAGCUCAUAGGGUCAUUAAUGACAUAUGAGAUCAAUUUGACAAAUAAGCUACAAGAGGGUGAAGAUAAAAAGAAGAAGAUCAUAGCCCUCAAAGCUACAACCAAGGAAGAAGAAGAUGUUGAAGAAGAAAAACCAAGUGAUGAAGAUGAUGAUUUAGCCCUCAUCACAAGAAACCUCAACAAAUACAUGAGAUGUGAAAGGUUUCGAGGAAGGAAGUUCACCUCUAAAAGAGAUCCUCCUAAAAAGGAAUCAUCCCAUGGUGAAAAGGAGAAAUGAGAAGAGAAAAGAGAUUUGAUAUGCUUCAAGUGCAAAAAACCGGGACACAUUAAAUAUGAUUGUCCUCUAUACAAAAGUGAAGCCAAGAGAAGAAUGAAAAAGGCAAUGAUGGCCACUUGGAGUGAAAGUGAAGAAUCCUCCGAAGAAGAAAAGGAGAAGGAAGUGGCAAACAUGUGCUUCAUGGCAAUAGAUGAUCUUGAUGAGGUAAACUCUAAUUUUAUUGAUGAAGAUAUGCAUGAUGUUUUUGAAGAAUUAUAUGAGGAUUUUGAAAAACUUAGUUUGAAAAAUAAUUCUCUUAAAAAGAAGAUUCAAGAACUUGAAGAAGUCAAAGAAAAAAUUUCAAUUAUUGAAAUAUCUAAAACUCAUCUUGAAAAAGAAAAUGAGAUUUUGAGAAGUGAAAAUGAGAUUUUGAAAAAGAAAAAUGAAUGGUUGACCUCAUUUCUUUCAAUUUUCUCUUGUGGACAAAAAUAUUUUGAAAUGAUCUUAGCUAGCCAAAAAUGUGUCUUUGAUAAACAAGGGUUAGGAUUCAAAUCUUCAAAAAAUCAAAAGUAUUUUAAAAACUACUUUGUAAAAGAAUCCACAAGUGCAAGUCCUUCUACCAUUUGCAACUUUUGUGGAAGAGGAUGACACAUUAGUAGUACAUGUCCCCUAAGAAAUGGUUCUUAAAAGAAUUCAAAUGCCAAGCUAAAAAGGUUUGGGUUGAAAAAUCCAAAAUCACUAACCCUCAAGGACCCAAAAAAAUAUGGGUACCUAAAUCAAUUUAAAUUUUGUUUUGUAGGGUUUAAAAAAGGAUAAAUGGUUCUUGGAUAGUGGAUGCUCAAGACACAUGACCGGGGAUGAAUCCAAGUUUGCCUUCCUUACAAAGAGAAAGGGAGGAUACGUUACCUUUGGAGACAAUGCAAAAGGAAGGAUCAUUGGUCAAGGUAACAUUGGUAAUGGCACAUCCUCUCUUAUUGAAAGUGUUUUAUUAGUGGAUGGUUUAAAACAUAAUCUCUUGAGCAUAAGUCAACUUUGUGACAUAGGUUUUAAAGUGAUUUUUGAAGCAUCUCAUUGCAUCAUCAAAGAUAUUCAAAAUGAUAAAACCAUCUUCAUGGGCCAUAGGUGUGACAAUGUUUAUGCUAUAAAUAUUUCAAAAUAUGAUGGCCAUGAUAGAUGCUUUUCAAGCAUGCAUGAUCAAAGUUGGUUGUGACAUAGGAGGUUGGGACAUGCUAACAUGGACUUCAUUUCCCAACUCAACAAAGAUGAACUUGUUAGAGGCCUUCCCAAAAUAAAUUUUCAAAAAUACAAAGCUUGUGAAUCUUGUCAAAUGGGAAAGCAAAUAAAAAACUCUUUUAAAAACAAAAAUUUCAUUUCAACAUCUAGGCCUUUUGAAUUGUUGCAUAUGGAUUUAUUUGGUCCCUCUAGGACACCAAGCCUUGGAGGAAAAUCUUAUGCUUUUGUUAUUGUGGAUGACUUCUCUAGAUACACUUGGGUUUUAUUUUUAAGUCAAAAGAAUGAAGCCUUUUAUGAGUUUUCAAAGUUUUGCAACAAGGUUCAAAAUGAAAAAUGUUUUACAAUUACUUGUAUAAGAAGUGAUCAUAGGAGAGAAUUUGAAAAUAUUGAUUUUGAAGACUAUUGCAAUGAGCAUGGUAUUAACCAUAAUUUUUCGGCUCUUAGAACUCUUCAACAAAAUAGGGUAGUUGAAAGGAAAAAUAGAACUCUUCAAGAGAUGGCUAGAACCAUGCUUAAUGAAAACAAUUUACCAAAAUACUUUUGGGCCGAAGCGGUUAACACUUCUUGUUAUGUUUUAAAUAGAAUUUUAUUAAGGCCUAUUCUUAAGAAAACUCCCUAUGAGCUUUGGAAAAACAAAAAACCCAACAUUAGCUAUUUCAAAGUCUUUAGGUGCAAAUGCUUUAUAUUAAACACCAAAGACAAUCUUGGAAAAUUUGAUGCAAAAUCGGAUGUUGGAAUUUUUCUUGGUUACUCAACUUCAAAUAAAGCCUUUAGAGUUUUUAACAAAAGAACCAUGGUUGUUGAGGGGUCCAUCCAUGUUAUUUUUUUAUGAAUCUAACAAUUCUCUCCAAAAAAAGAGAGAGCUUUGAUGAUGAUUUAGGCUUGGAGACCUCCAUGGGAAAAUUACAAAUUGAAGAUAGAAGGCAACAAGAAGGAAUUGUUGAGGAUCCCAAGAAAGAAGAAUCACCUUUAGCACUACCCCAUCCUCAACAAGUGCAAGGUGAAUCAAGCCAAGACCUUCCUAAAGAUUGGAAGUUUGUCAUUAACCACCCACAAGAUCAAAUUAUAGCUAAUCCAUCUAGUGGGGUAAGAACUAGAUCAUCUCUUAGAAAUAUUUGCAAUAAUCUUGCUUUUAUCUCUCAAAUUGAAUAUAAAAAUAUAAAAGAUGCUCUAGUUGAUGAAAAUUGGAUGAUUGCUAUGCAAGAAGAGUUAAACCAAUUUGAAAGAAGUGAAGUAUGGGAAUUAGUGUCAAGACCUCAAAAUCAAAGUGUUAUUGGAACUAGAUGGGUCUUUAGAAAUAAAAUGGAUGAAAUGGCAUAAUUAUAAGGAAUAAAACAAGAUUGGUAGCCCAAGGUUUUAAUAAAGAAGAAGGGAUAGAUUAUGAAGAAACCUUUGCUCCCGUAGCUAGAUUGGAAGCCAUUAGGAUGCUACUUGCCUUUGCAUGUUUUAAAGACUUUGUUUUAUAUCAAAUGGAUGUGAAAAGUGUUUUCUUAAAUGGCUUUAUAAAUGAAGAGGUAUAUGUUGAACAACCACCCGGCUUUCAAAGUUUUAACUUUCCUAAUCAUGUCUUUAAACUUAAAAAGAUACUUUAUGGUUUGAAACAAGCACCUAGAGCAUGGUAUGAAAGAUUGAGUAAAUUUCUUAUGAAAAAGGAUUUUAAAAUGGAAAAAAUUGAUACAACUCUUUUCAUAAAAACCAAAUAAAAUGACAUGCUCUUAGUGCAAAUAUACGUUGAUGAUAUCAUUUUUGGAGCUACUAAUGUCUCUCUUUGUGAAGAAUUUUCUAAAUGCAUGCAUAGUGAGUUCGAAAUGAGCAUGAUGGGAGAACUUAACUUCUUCCUUAGACUUCAUAUCAAGCAACUAAAGGAAGGAACCUUCAUCAAUCAAGCAAAGUAUAUAAGAGAUCUCCUCAAAAGGUUCAAUAUGGAGGAAGCCAAAACAAUGAAGACUCCAAUGAGUUCAUCCAUCAAGCUUGACAUGGAUGAGAAAGGUAAGUCCCUCAACUCAACUAUGUAUAGAGGCAUGAUAGGUUCUUUGCUAUAUUUGACUGCUAGUAGACCCGACAUCAUGUAUAGUGUAUGCUUAUGUGCUAGAUUUCAAUCUUGUCCUAAAGAAUCCCACUUAAGUGUUGUAAAACGAAUCCUUAGAUACUUGAAACGGACAAUGGACAUAGGUUUGUGGUAUCCUAAGAGUGAUAACUUUGAAUUAAUUGGAUUCUCGGAUACCGACUUUGCCGGUUGUAAAGUUGAAAGGAAAAGCACUAGUGACACUUGUCAUUUCCUAGGACACUCACUUGUUUCAUGGUAUAGUAAGAAAUGAAUUUUGGUAGCUUUAUCAACGGCGGAAGCCGAAUACAUAGCAGCCGGUUUAUGUUGUGCACAAAUUCUUUGGAUGAAACAAACACUUAGUGAUUUCAAUUUGAUUUUUGAGCAUGUUCCUAUUAAAUGUGAUAACACUAGUGCCAUAAACAUUUCAAAAAAUUCAGUGCAACACUCUAGGACUAAGAAUAUAGAGAUAAGACACCAUUUUCUUAGAGACCAUACACAAAAGGGUGACAUUACACUUGAAUUUGUAAGCACAAAAGAUCAACUUACUGAUAUUUUUACAAAACCUCUAAGUGAAAAACAAUUUGUUGAUAUUAGAAGACAACUAGGGGUGAUUUCUUUAUGAUCAAAUGAUUGCUUGAUGAAUUCUUGAUUGAAUAUACCUUAUGAUUACGUGAAUUUCAUAUCAUAUAGAAAUAAUCUUAGGAAAAAGGUCAAAUUUUGACCAAAAAUCAAAAUUCCCUUGGCAUUGGACAUAAAAAAUUGGGGAUUUCAAUUGAAAAGGGUAGGGGGAGGAUCACAAGACAAGAAAAUACCAAAAAAUUGGAGCAUUGACCGUUGACCAUUGACCAAGCGGUUCGUCGAGGUUGGGAAUUUAAAAAGGCCCCCUGCGCUUCAUUUUUCACAUGUUAUCCUCCAUACCUUGAAGACUCUUCACAUCCAUGCUUCUAGAAGUCAAUUUUGGCAAGAUCUUGGACUGUUUGCAGGCUUUGGAGUGGAUUUUGAGACGUUUUGAGGCUAGGGUUUUGAUUUGAAACCCAGAGUUUCAGUUUUUGGGGGUGAUUUCUCUCUAUACCACGAACCUCAGGCUUGGUUCAACUUCUUCUCCGUGCGCCUAGGGCUUUAGGUUGGUGUUUUCUCUCUCUUGUUUGAUUUCCUUCUCCUUUUGGACUUCUCCUUCUCCCUAUUCCAUUCGUUGGAUGGCUCCUAGGCGAGAGACGGGCACCUCUAGGGCUCAAGGCAAGCGCCCUACUGAGCCAUCUCAGCCUGAGCAGACGGAGGCUCACCGAAAGGCGAGGUAUGAUACGACCCUCUUCAGUUCCGUUGAAGAUCUUAAUUAAGCAUAGCCUUUGUUUUCUCAGUAUCUUUGGAGGAGUCUUUUGAUGGCGGAUACCUUGCUAUUUGUGGUACUCAUCAAAUGACCUUGAAUAUUCUCCUCUAUUAUCAGUUCAGAUACAUUUAAGUUUUCUUCUAGUUUAUCUCUCAAUUGAAGCCUGAAAUUACUUGAACACACCCGAUACCUUAUCUUUAUGCUCAAUGUGUAUGCACAAAUCUUCUUUGAAUGAUCAUCAAUAAAAGUCACGAAGUAUAGUGAACCACCAAGGGUUUUUACCUUCAUUGGACCAUAUAAACUAGAAUGGACUAAGUCAAGCAAAUUCUCAUUUCUUGAAGAAGAAGGGCGUGUCUUGAACGCAACUCUAUUUUGCUUUCCUACCAAGCAAUGAGCACACUUUUGUAGACAUGUGUUUGUCAUCCCAAACAAGUGAUUUUUUCGGAAUAGUACCAUCAUUCAUUUCUCACCCAUGUGACCGAGUCUCUAGUACCACAACUCAAUUGUAUCCACAUUUUCAAUAGCAUGAAUGACAUCUUUAGAAAGUCCAACUUGCAUUAUGUACAAAUUAUGAUUCCUUUUACAUCUUGUUAUGACCAAAGAACCCUUAGUAAGCUUCCAUUGACCAUUACCAAGACCACUAUAGUAGCCACCAUCAUCAAGCUUGCUAGUAGAGGUAAGGUUCAACCAAAUGUCUGGAACAUGCUUUACACCUUUGAAAAGCAGUUUCAUACCAUUACGGGUUUCUAAUAAAAAAUUACCUAUGUCAAUAACCUUAGCCACACCAUUGUUGCCCAUCCUUACAACUCCAAAGUCAGAUGUGUAAAAAUCCCUACAAAAUGUAACAUGAAUAGUAGCACCACUAUCAAUUACCCAACUAGUCUCAUCAAAUGCUGAAUUGAUCAUAUCAUCAUCAUACAUUAGUAAAAAGUCUUCUAUAGUGGUGGCAACUCAAUCUUCAUCACUGCUCUUAUUGCCUUUUUCUUUCCUGUUGUUCUUCUUAUUUUCUUUCUUCAACUUUCUACAAUGUUUCUUGAUAUUCCCCUUCUUACCACAAUGGUAACACUCAACAUUAGCAAAUUUGCCUUUGGACUUAUUUCUACUACUUUCCCUGUUUUUCGGAAUCCUACUCUUGUUUCCCCCUCAUGGCUCAGUAACUAUCAUAUCUGACUAUGAGGAGGAACGAUGUGACUUUUUUCUCAUCUUUUCAUUUAGAACAUUGCUCUUAGCAAUUUCCAUUGUAAUCUCACCAUCUAGAGUUGAAUUAGACAAUGACAUUUUAAAUGUCUCCCAAUAAUCUGACAAAGUGCCCAAAAGCCAUAAACCCUAUACCUCUUCAUCAAAUUUUACCCCCAUUACAUCCAACUAAUUUAUCAAACCUUGGAAUGAAUUCAAGUUAUUGGUCAUAGGAGUAUCCUCACGAUAUCUCAAAAGAAUAAAAUAUUUCAUCAAAUACAUUUUGUUGUUUCUGGUCUUUUGAGCAUACAACUUUUCAAGUUUGAUCCACAAUGUACAUGCAUUCUUCUCACCACUAACAUGGUUUAACACACUGUCAUCUACCCAUUGUCGAAUAUACCAACACACCUGCCUAUAAAGUAAUGUACAUUCCUCAUCAGUUUUGCCAGUGGGUUUUCCUUGGACAAACAUAGGGUGAUGGUAACCCUUCUCAUAUAAUAAAUCCUCCAUUUUAUCCUUUCACAAGGCAUAAUUUGAGCCAUUUAAGCUUACCAUUCUGUUUGCACUAACAUCCAUUCUUCAACACAACACAGGCAGCCAAAGCUCUAAUACCACUUUGUUGGGAGAAAGUUGAACACAGUAUCACAAUUAAAAUCAACCAUGCAUGCACUGGAAUUUUAAUGUGGAAAACAUCUUCAAUGUGAGAAGUAAAAACCACAGGACCAGAGUCCACUCAGAAAGGGUUCACUAUCAACCUAAGUGAGAGUACACAAUUUGUCCCAACAUUAAUUGGGGACUAUCAAUAGCAACAACCAUCAAGAAAAAUCUUAGCUUCACAAGCAUAAACACCAAAUAUUAAAAGAAUAAUAGAAAAAGAUCACAAAUUUGGUGUUCUGUCCGAAUAUACUAAUCUGUCCUGAAAACUCCAAUCAACGAUCCAAUCGUUAAAAUUUAAUUACCAUAAGUUUUGAACCUCCUAUUAAAAUUUCACUUCAAUCAGACCAAAGAUCAAAGAAAUACCACUCUUUGAUGAAGACUGCAUAGAACCGAGAUUUUCUCCUCUCAUUUUCUGUCCUGUUUUAUUUGAAUGAUUAUAUAUUAUAGUCAACUACUCUGAUCGACGAGCGAACCGACCAGAAUUAAGAGACAUAAGAGACGAAGAUACUAUACAAAUUUCAACACGAUCCAACGGUGUAAAAUAGAGAUCAAGAAGAUUGAUUAAAAUUGCUCUAAAAUGAUUCUAUUUAUGACCAACUCUGUUUAGGCGGCUAUAGAGUGAAAUAGAAAAGUUCAACUAGAAUAAGGAGUUGCUUGUGAUAAACCAACUGACCAAGUUUCAGUUUAAACAAGCCUUAGACCAUCAAGAUCUAUUACUUGGAUGAAAAUAGCUCUUUCACCUCUUCAAUUUCUUAUUAUUUUUUUUUCUCUCUCAAAAUCAUCAGUUGCACUCUUCUCACUGUAUAUUUCAAGAAGUGAAUCUUUUUUGGGGUUUUCAAAAAAACCUUACACCGAAAGACAAAAAUGCCCAUAUAAUAUGGGAUUUGUUGGGUUUGACAUAUAUGGGUCAUCCUCCACAUGAGAGGGAAACCCAACCCAACAAUAGUUUAGUACCUCCUAAUUGGAAGGAUGACUUGUUUUUGUCAUCACGAUGAGUUUUCCAUGGUGAGUGCACUAAUGUAUAUGGUUACACAUUGGACAGGACCUAUGAUGAGUCAUGAUAUUGGCUAUCAAGUAGUCAUCAUCUUAUAAAGCUACUAUAUUGUAUGAGCUCUCAACCUUGAGAAGAUAUUAAGCUAGUAGUAAAAUUUUUAAUGACUUUAACAUAUAGGUAAGAUCCUAAAGUGGUAAUAUAUUCCCUAUGGAUUGAGAUAUUAUUGAUAGAGGUUGGUGAUAACAUGUAUACUCAAGAUAGACACCAUGAUAUCUCCUAGGUUUUAGAUAAUAUAUCCAUUUGAGUGAUCCUAAGGACAUGUGAUUAGGAAAUCCGUGGUCAUAGUAAUUCUUUAAUUGGAAUUUGACAUAUGCUUCUUAUGAAAUAAAGUAUGUCGAUUUAUCACAUAAGAAGAGGAUUAGAGACUCAAGGACUCUAAAGGAAAUUUUAUAAGGUAGAUAACAUUCACUUUAUUAGACUACGAUCAAUAGCUUAUGAGAAGUUUGCAUAUAGUAGACAAUGGAUCAUAGACUAGAGGUUUGUAUCUCAUAGUUAUAAUAUCAUACGAUAAUGGAGUAUAGUUAACUCUAUGUAGUAGGAUAUUAAGUCAAUUUUAGAAUUGAAAUAUGAGGUAGCCAGUAUUUUCUUAUGAGUCUUAGUGGUCCUCACUUAAAAUCAUAUUCCAUGGUGGCAUGAUUUUUUUAAGAGAUUAUGAGUUUUAUAUUCAUAUGUAUGCAUACAGACAUUUUGGUAGACACGAAACGUUGCACAAGAGUUUAUGAAUGUUUUUGGGUUGAGUUAAUUAAUUAAUUAGAACCCAAUUAAGUUAGUUAAUUAGGACUCAUUGGGCUAAAUUAAGUGACCCAACUCAAUUCACUUAAACUUAGAAGUAAUUCUAUAUAAACCUCCUUAAGUUUUAGGGCUUAUAUUUUGAUUCAUUCUAUCUUUCAGAAUGAGAGAAUCCCAUUCUUCAUUCCCAAGUGAGAAUUCCAUCAUUUUUAAGUGACAAGGUCUAGGAAAGAGCUAUUGGGUGGAAGAUCAUGAGGUUUUCGAGAUCCAUACCAUCAUUUUCUUUGAUUGGAACUAAUCUAGGCACAUCUAUUAGUUUAUUGGCCAUUGAAUCAACAAAGGACUAUAAUGCAAAAUUGUUUCAUGCAGUACCUUAAAAUAAUUAUGAAGGGCUGUAAAAAAAUUGAACCAAUGGUUGUUACUUUCUACAAACAAUAUAAGGCGUAAAAACCUAAAGCUUAGUUGAUUUUGUGAGAGCCAACUAGUCCAAAAGAUCAGUUAUAGCGGAAUAGAACUCUUGAAUACUCAUGUUCUUAUGUUCAAGAGCUCAAAUAUCAAUCUUUAAAUAAUAUUGAUUUGCAAAUGUUGCUAGAUCUUGUUGACAAAUUCAUACUUUGCCAACUACGUACUUAUCAAAUUCUCAAUAAAUUUGUUGAUCCAAUUGAUAAUUUUUGAAUUGUUUACUGCUCAAAUGUUUAACUGUUCUAUAUAUUUUUCAUCAUCUCCAUUUCUAGGUUUGUGUAGAGUUAACCCCACAUCUUUUUUACCUUUGAAAAAUUUCCCAUUGCAUAACUCCAAUGUUAGGAUAGAGCCCUUAAAAGCAUAGUAUGAUAUAACAAAUUCAAAUUUAUUAUUCAUUUAAUAAAAUUUUAGUUUCCUAUUUCUAUCUAUCUUAUUACAUGCAUUAUAACUUAUAACCAUUUUAGCCUAACAUUUUUUGCAUUGUACAUACUUUGGGUGCAUUAGGAGUUACACAGAAGAUCCAAGUCAUGAGUUGCUUGCAAGUAGAUGAUUUGUUCACAACUAGUUCAUAGAAUUAGGUAAUUCAUUGAAAGUUGUAGUACACUACCUACUAAUGGAAUGGAUGACUAGUCUUGGUCAUUUGGGAUGAGUUUCCCAUGUUAAGUCCAUUAGUUUGUACAAUUCAACAUUAAAUAAGGCCCAUAGUGAGUUAUGAUGUAAAGUUAUUGAGUAGUCAUGACCUCACCAAGCUGCUAUACUAUAUGGUCUUUUAACCUCGAGAGAAUAUUUAGUUUGUGCCAAAGUUUAUAAUAGCUUUGACCUAUAAGUGAGAUCCUAAGAUGGUCAUAUAUUCCCUAUAAAUUAGGUCAUUAUUGAUGGAGGCUAGUGACGGCCGGUAUUCUCAAUAGAGAUACCAUGAUAUCUUAUGGAGAUUGAGACAAUAUGUCCCAUUAGGUGAGCCUAAGGAAGUCUUGAUAAGGAAAUUAAUGGUCAUAAUAGUUUUUUAAAUUAGAACUUGACAUAUGCUCUUUAUGAGAUAAGAUAUGUCACUUCAUCUCAAAAUAAGAGAAUCUGAGACUCAAGAAUCAUAAAGGUAAUCUUGAAAGGUUGAUAACAUUCAUCUUGUUAGAUUAUGGACACUAUUUCAUGGGGAACUUGCAUACAAUGGAUAGUAGGUGUUAAUGGAAACCCUAGAUUUCUUCGUUCGUAAACCCUAGAUCGUAUAGGUAUAUGCAAAUCUACCUAGGCUUCUCUAGAAACUAACAUAAGUGGAAACAUGGCUUUUAAAAACCAUUUAGAUUAAUAAAACUAGAGAAGAAUGAAUUAUACCUAGAUUUAGAUGUUCCUAGAUCAAUUCAUUGCGAUGAAGAUGUUUCAAUGUUCUAGAGGUCUUGUACACCCAAAGUCUUCUGUCUAAUUACUCAAUCCAUGACCUUGGCACUCUAAAGAGUGGACUUUGAAAAAGAGAUGCCUUGGCUCUCUCUCUUUCUCUCUAUUUCUCUCUGGAAGUGGAAGACGACAAGCAAAAGCCUUAGAAACCCUAACCCCUAAGGGGAUAUGUAUAGGGUUCCCCUACUAGGCUUAAGUGACUUGAGCCUACCAAGGAUUAGGUCACUUAAUCUAGCCCAAAAUAGAUCUUGAUUUAUUAAUCAACCACACAGGGUCAUCUAAUUAAUCAAUUAGCUCAAUGAAGAGAACUUGUUCUCUAUUCCCCUAUGCAACCUUGCGUGAUUGCUAAAACACCUUUAUACACAUCUAAUCCUUAGAAAUCGUGUCAUCAUGGUAUAUGAGCUCAAAGUGAGGACUACUGGGACAAAUAGGCAUACUAACUCUCUCAAAAUCGAAUUCCAAAGUUGAUUCACUAUCCCACUAUAGAAAAUCAAUUGCACUCCAGUACCUUAUGUAGAUAACAAUAAGAUGAAGUUUGGGUCUGUGACCUACUAUCUACUACAUGCAAUCUCUUCAUGAAUUGGUGUCCAUAAUCUAACAAGGUGGUGUUAUCACAUAAUGUAUGAUAAGAAAUAUGAAUUUGUUACAUUAGAUAAUAACAUAAUGUAUCCUGGUAGGAAAUAUGAAUUUUAAAAAUGCAUCCUCUAUAUUAAGGUAAAGUUAAUUUUUUUAAACAUAAAAUAAUAUAUUUAUAACAAAGUUAGUAAUAUGGAUGAGAUAUAAAUUAGUAUUGGUAUCAAGUAUUUCAAUAUGUAAACCUAAAACAUAUUACAUUUAUAAUAUUAUUGAAAUUUUACCCAUAAUAUAUCUUUAUUAAAAAAGUCAAUCUAAAAUUUUUCAAAUUUUUAUUACUCAACUAUAUCCAUAUAAUUUUCUAUUAGAAUCAUCUAAAAUUUCUUUAAUAUCUUUAUAUUCAUUUACUUGAAAAAUGAAAAAUAACCAAUAAAAUUGUUCAUUUUAUUAAGAUAUUUUUAUUAAAUUUUGUUAAAAAAAAAAUAAAUCAUUCAAAAUUUUAAAUAAGAUUUCAUGUGAAAUAUUUUAUUUGAAAGUUUAUUUGGUUUCAUUAACAAAUUUAUUUGAUAUUUUUUUUAUUGUAAAUAUAUUAAAUUAUUAAAAUUAUAGUAUUUGUCCUAUAAAAUUAGGGUUGCAAUUUGGACGAGCUAACCCAAACCAACAUAAAACCAACCCAAUGUUUGGGCGGGCUUGGGCACCAUUUUUUGUAACUUGGGUUGGGCUUGGAUUCAUUUUUAUCAACCCAAAUUAAAUUCGGGUUGGGCUUGGUCAGAUGACUUGGGCAACCCAAACUAACCCGAACCUGACUAUAUAUAUAACUUUAAGAAAAUAAUACAUUGGUUCUUUCCAUUCUAUUCUUUGAUAGAGAAAAAACCUUCAAGCCCUAGUCCAAGGUUCUUCCAUUAUUCGAUAUUGUUCAAAUCCUCAAGCCCUAGUUCAAGAUUCUUUCAUUUUUUGAUGUUGUUGUCUCCAUUCAAGGUCAUCUGACAGAAAGCAAAAACCAUCAGGCCUUAGGUUAAGAUUCUUCAUCAUCAUAUAAUGUUACAAUCGUCGUUCAAUACCACUGUUGUUCACAUUAUAUUACUAGGUUUUUGAUUGCCAACAAUUUAGUUAAUAAAUCAUGGAAAUAAUGGAAAAGGUUGAUUUGAAAAUAAUUCUAAGAUAUCCCUUUUUGGUUUUAAAUUUAUCUUCCUUGAGUGAUGAAUAAAGAGGACAAGGCAAGUUAUUUAAGGCAAUGGUGAAGCCCUUAUCCUUUAUAUGGAAGAAGUGUAGAAUUGUUACCUAUACAUAAAUUAUAUUAUAAUGGUCUACUGUAAUAUGCUUGGCUUAGCAUCCCUCAUCAGGGGCAUGCCAUGGGAGAAAAGUCUUCCUUUUGUAAAAGAAGGGUUGUGCAAUAAAUGAAUGUUGUGUGUUUGCUUUUUGAACUAAUUUUUAUUGGCCUAACUCAACCCAACUUAGCCAUCACAUAAUCAACUCGAGCUCAACCUAUGUUAAAUAAUUUCAAUUCGAGUUGAGUGCAUAAGAUUGGAAGUCGAGUUAGGUGAUCCUUUGGGUUGAUGUAUUUCAAGGUAAGAUUGAGCUUGGGUUGGCCAACUUGCCGAGUUGCAACCCCAUAUAAAAUUAAUUUUUCUUUAACAUUUAUAUUUUAUGAAAUAUUAAAAAUUAUAUAUUUUAUUAAUUGUUUUCCAAAAAUCGCAAUUUUGGUGAUUUAGGUCUUGUUUGGUAAUUGUUUUUGAAAACAUUUUUGAAAAAAUAGUUUUUAAGAACAGUUUUUGAAAACUGUUCUCUGAUGUUUUUUAGAACAAAAGUCUAUUUGGGAACCUAAAAUUAUUUUUAAUAUUUUUAAAUACGUUUUAAAAAUAAUUUUUAUAUCCAUAACUUUAUUUUUAUUAAUCAUUAUAUAUAUAUUUGUAUAAUUAUUCUUUAAAAUAACUCUCAAAAAAUAAGUGAAAACAACUUAAAACAAUUAAAAUAUAUUAUUUGAAAACACCCUGUUUUCUAUUUUUUAAUAAUAUAAAACAGAAAACAGUUUUUAAUUGUUAAACGUGUUUUUAAGUUUUUUUUUUCUAAAAAACAAAAAACUGUUUUUGAAAACAGUUUCCAAACAUAGCAUUAAUGCAAAGCCAGCCAAUUUUUUGUGCUGCCAACCAUACUGGAAACCCAUCUUGUUGGCCACCCAGAGGAGCUCAGUUUUUUUUAUUUUUAUUUGUUAGAGGAGUGGGGGACGAUUUCUAUGAACGAGCUACAUGGGACAUGUGGAAAAAAAAAAAAAAAGAUGGCCACCUUGCCAUGGUGGUGGUUGAAGAUGGAGACUUGCUAAGCGGUGAACAGUGGAACGAGUAGAAGCUUAUAAGAGAAAAAAAAAAACAGAGCAAAGGGACUGGGAGGGUUGAGUUGUGGGUGAGCUGAUUCAAGAGGAAGGAAAAAAAAUGAAGCUGAAACAAAGGGAGGUUUUUAAGAGAAAGUGAAAACAACGAGUUAAUUUGGAAACAACUAGGAUGAGAGUUGUAGGUCGGCUGAUUAGAGGAGGUUUUCAGCAAGAGCUAAAGAAGAGGACCUUUAAACUCUACCGGAAAAGUUCUCUCGUCUCACCGGUGACUACGGAUCUGGAAAACUAAAAUGCGCAGGUGGUGGCGUUGCUCCCCCUACUAUACUUACGGAUUUUAAGCUCAAUGGCUACGGAAACCUCGAUUUCUACAACGUGUGCUUGGUUGACGGGUAAAACCUUCCUUUGAUGGUGGUGCCACAGGAUGGCACCGGGGGGAACUGUACCAAAAUCGGGUGCUGCUCUAGACUUGGGAAAUGAACAGGUUUGUUCGUUUGUCUCGUUACAACUUCUUUCUGAAUCUUUCUUUGAUUAAGACAAGUAUGUUUUUCCAAGUUUUGGUUUUUGCUCUCAAAAAGGGUCUUUUUGAUGAUUCUACUGUUUUUUUUAGGAGUUGAAAUGGGUUUUUGAUGAAUUCAAGUGGGCGUCUUUUGUUUGUUAAUGGAACGGUUUUGUUUUUGGUGGUCAAAACAUUUUUUUUUUAUAAUGAUUUUGUAGUCAUUUUAAGGAGCUGUGAAAUGGGUGUUUGAUGAAUUCAACUGGGUUUCUUUUACUUGAUGAAAUGCCACCAUCCGUGGGGUUUGGUUAUGUAAACAUGAAUUUUUUUUUUUUUUUUAUGAUUUUGAAAGUGAUUUUAAGGAGCUGUGAAACGGGUAUUUGAUGUGUUGAACUGGGUCUAUCCUAUUUGCUAAUGGAAUAGGUUUUAGUUUCUGAACUUGGAACAUGAAUUUUUUUAUUUUUUAUAUGAUUCCGUGUAUAUUUUGAUGAGCUUGACAUUUUGUAUGAUGAAUUGAACUCAGUUUUGACUAAAUGGGAUAGGUCUUGGAUUAUGGUUCAUGGUUUAUUUUGAUGAUUUAUUGAACCGGAUUUCCUCUGUUUUGGGACCCACUCCACUCCUGCAUGGCCAUUUUUGACAUGCAAUUCCAUCGAACACGUGUCAUCCUCUUUGAUUUUUCAUCCUCAUAUGUUAAAAUAUGAUUUUCAAAACUCCAAUUUUCACGUUUAAUUUUUAAAACUUUAAUUUUUAAAAUUCCAUUUUUUUUUAAUUUAAUCUUCAAAACUCUAAUUUUCAAAUAAUCUUCAAAGUUCCAAUCAUCGAAAUUUAAUUUUUAGAACUUCAAUUUUCAAAUAAUUCUCCAAAAUUCCAAUUUUCAAAAUUUCCAUUUUCAAAAAUAAUUUUCCAAAAUUCUAAUUUUCAAAAAUUCUAAUUUUUCAAAAUUUCAAUUUUCAAAAAUUCUAAUUUUUCAAAAUUUCAAUUUUCAAAACUUACAUUUUCAAAAAUAAUUUUCCAAAAUUCCAAUUUUCAAAACUUCCAUUUUCAAAUAAUUUUCCAAAAUUCAAGUUUUCAAAUUUAAUUAUUAAGAAAUCCCAUUCUCAAAUAAUUCUCCAAAAUUCCAAUUUUCAAAAUUUCCAUUUUCAAAUAAUUUUCUAAAAUUCCAUUCUAAAACAAUUCUCCAAAUUUCCAAUUUUCAAAACUUGAAUCAUUUUCUAAAAUUCCCAUUUUCAAAUUUAAUUCCCAUAAUUUCCAUUCUCAAAUAAUUUUUCAAAAUUCCAAUUCUCAAAUUUAAUUUUUGAAACUCCCAUUUUUCGAAUAAUUUUUCAAAUUUUCAUUUUUUUUAAAUUUAAUUUUUAAAAUUUCAAUUUUCAAAACCCUAGUUUUCUUUCAAAUAGUUUUAAUCCCACUUCAGUUUUCAAAUAUUUUUAAUUUUACAACUUUUCAUCAUUCAUUAGGGUUUUAAGUCACUAAAAAUCAUAUUUUUAAAUAAACUUGCUACUUUUCCUUUCAGGUAAGCACUUUCACAAAUUUUCUUUGUUUUUAAAAUAAUAUUUUGUUUCUCUUAAUUUUAAAUAAACAUGAAGGCAAUUUUCAUAAUUUCAAAAUAAUGGAAUUUAUGGAAUUAAUUCAUGCAAAAUAAUUGGGCUUUGGUGGGAGCCUAACAUUCAUGACAUUUCUUUCAAAAAUAAUUCAAGUGAAUUGCAUUAUCGAUAUUGUUUGAUUUUGAUUGGUUUUGUGUGAGAUAUUUUACACUUAAUAUUGUGCACUAAUUCUGUUUCAUGAUAGCGCUUUAUUACCUCUAGUCAAGGUACGCUCUCACUCUCAUUUUGUUUAUUUAUUCGUUAUCAUAACUUGCUUUUGAUCUAUUAUCUUUUUGGUAUUCAUUGAUUUUUCUAGUUAAUUGUCAUGUUUGCUUCACCUUAUUUAGUAGAGACCCAUUUUUCAGGGGCUUAGAGGGGUGCUACGGUCUUUACCGUACUUUUCCAAUAAGUAACCUAACCCUCGAAUCCGACUUUGGUCUUCCACAAACUAUCUUUUCCAAAUAAGGAGUCACACUUAGAGUUUUCUUUCUUAUUUUGUUUUCCCUUAAAAAUAAAAUAAAAAUAAGUGGUGACUCCAAGUAUUUUCUAAAAAUCAUUUUUUUUUUCAAAUAAAAAAAGCGAGUUUUGCCAUCAAGUGGAAACACAUCUUGCGAAAAUGUGGGGUCCACAUAUCCCCUUCCAUUCCUUCAUACCCAAUGAAAUCUAAAUAAAUCGCCAGCCUAUUUUUUCAUUCUUGCUUCCAACCUCUUUUUUAAUAUUUAAAAUUGAUAAUAUAAAAUCUCUGCACAUGAUAUUGCCCACUUUGUCAUGGAAUUGAGAACAAUGAUAAAUCACAAUUUUCACACAAAUGAAAGUCUGUAUACUUUUUUUUUUUUUUUUUUGUAAGGAAUAAUAUUGUGUAAGGAACCAUUAAUGUAAACAUAUUGAAGGAAAAACAUAAAAAAUAAAACAAAUAUCACAAAAGAUAUAUAGGUUUAUCUCCACUUUGAACCAUGAAUUCUUUUGAUCUACUAGAUGUUUUUCACUUUAGGUGUUUCUUACUCCUCUCAUAAUUUUUUCCUUUCAUAAUUUAGAAUAUUUAUAGAAAUAUUUCCACUGACUUUCCUUAUUCUAUAACGAAUUUAAUUACAAUCACCUAAAAUUAGAAAAUAUUCAUAACUUUAUGAUAUUCUAAAUAGGAAUUUAAGACACCUUCCUAACACAUAAUCAUUUAAAUUUAUUUUUUUCACACAUUAUACAUUUUAAUUUUUCAAUAACAAUUUCCACACAAAUAAUUAUUUUUAGAUUUUUCUUUUUAAAUUUUAACAACAUUAAUAAUUUAAUAUUUCAUCCAAAUAAAAAAUAGUGAAAUUAAGAAAAAUUAAAAGAAAGAUAAAUAAAUAAACUAGUCACAUAAUAUAUAAUAGUUUUUCAUAAAAAUUGUGAAUUAAUAAUCCAACCAGAGCUCUGGGCCCACAUGUUAUAUAUACUGAGAAUCCACAUGUUAUAAUGAGAAAAAAAAAUGGAUUUAAAAUUUAAAAUUAUUUGAACAUGUUUCUUCUAACUCGUUGUAUAUAUUUUCCUUAUUUAUAUAAAGAUUAAUUAUUUUAAUUAAUUUUGAUAAUAUUUGAUUUUGUUUUUCAAUGAUAAACGAAAUAUGAUCAAAUGAAUAAACCACUGAAGUAUACUAUGCAUUUUAUAUAAAGUUUUUUUAUAUUAGUACCCAUGUGAACUGAUCAUAAGAAACUGGGUACCAUCAAAACUGUACAUCUGGAUACUGAGGAUCAGCAGAACAGAUGUAAUAAAUGUUCAUAUUUUCUAUAAUGUCACAUGGGACUUAGGAUGGUUCUUGGUAGAUAAGUUAAUUGACUUGGAAUCUUAACCUAAUCUAUAAUUUAAAAAAUGGAUAAAUUAAUUAAUUUAAGAAUAGUAACGGUCCAUAUUUUGUCAGGCCACAUGGGAGUUAGAAUAGUUUAAAGUGAACAUGUGACCUGAUGUAUAAUAUAAAGUGGAAAACUUGUCCAUCGAAUCCAUAAAUUAUAUUAUAAUGGUCUACUGUAAUAUGCUUGACUUGGCAUCCCUUAUAGGGCUAUGCCAUGGGAGAAAAGUCUUCCCUUUGUAAAAGAAGGGUUGUGCAACAAAUGAAUGUUGUGUCUUUGCUUUUUGAACUGAUUUUUAUUGGCCCAACCCGACCUAACUCAGCCAUCAUAUAAUCAAUUUGAGCUCAACCUAAGUUAAAUAAUUUCAAUUCGAGUUGAGUACAUCAGAUUGGAAGUCAGGUUGGGUCAUCCUUUAGGUUGAUGUAUUUCAAGGUCGCACUGAGCUUGGGUUGGCCAACUUGCCGAGUUGCAACCCUAUAUAAAUUGUUUUACAAAAAUCGCAAUUUUGACGAUUUAUACUUUAUUUGAUAACUGUUUUUAAAAACAUUUUUAAAAAAAUAGUUUUUAAGAACAGUUUUAAAAAAUUGUUCUAUGAUAUUUUUUAAAACAAAAGUUUAUUUGGAAACUUAAAAUUGUUUUUAAUCUAUUUUUAAUAUUUUUCAAUGUGUUUUAAAAAUUUUUUUUAUAUCCAUAGCUUUAUUUUUAAUCAUUAGAUAUAUAUAUAUGUAUAUAUAUAUAUAUAUAUAUAUAUAUAUAAUUUUUAAAAAUAACUCUAAAAAAAAAAUUGAAAAUAAUUAAAAGAUAUUAUCUAAAAACACCAUAUUUUUUAUUUUUUAUUAUCUAUUUUCUAAUAAUAGAAAAUAGAAAAUGGUUUUUUAUUAUUAAAUGAAUUUUAAAAUUCUUUUAUUCUAAAAACCAAAAAUUGUUCUUGAAAACAAUUGCAGGGCAUUAAUGCAAAGUCCAAGGCAUUAAUGCAAAGUCGCCCAACCAUCCCCUUCCAUUCCUUCAUACCUAAUGAAAUCCAAAUAAAUCACCCUUUUUUCAUUCAUGCUUCCAACGUCUUUUCUAAUAUUUAAAAUUGAUAAAUAUAAAAUCUCUCCAUAUGAUAUUGCCCACUUUGUCAUAGAAUUGAGAAUAAUGAUAAAUCACAAUUUUCACACAAAUGAAAGUUGUAUACUUUUUUUUUAUAAGGAAUAAUAUUGUGUAAGGAAGUAUUAAUAUAAACAUAUUAAAGGAAAAACACGAAAAAUAAAACAAAUCAUAUAAAAGAUAUAUAAGGUUUAUCUUCACUUUGAAUCAUGAAUCCUUUCGAUCUAUUAGAUGUUUUCACUUUGGGUGUUUUUUUCUCCUCUCAUAAUUUUUUUUCUUUAUAAUUUAGAAUAUUUAUAAAGAUAUUUAUACUAAUUUUCCUUAUUUUAUAAGAAAUUUAAUUACAAUCACAUCUAAAGUUAGAAAAUAUUCAUAACUUUAUGAUAUUCUAAAUAGGAAUUUAAGACACCUUCCUAACAAAUAAUUAUUUAAAUUUAUUUUUUUCACACAUUAUACAUUUCAAAUUUUCAAUAAAAAUUUCCACAUAAAUAAUUAUUUUUAGAUUUCUCUUUUUAAAUUUUAACAACAUUAAUAAUUGAAUAUUUCAUCCAAAUAAAAAAUAGUGAAAUUAAGAAAAAUUAAAAUAAAGAUAAAUAAAUAAAUUAGUCUCAUAAAUAUAUAAUAAUUUUUCAUAAAAAAUUAUGAAUUAAUAAUCCAACCAAAGCUCUGGGCCCAUAUGUUAUAUAUAUUGAGAAUCCAUAUGUUAUAAUGAGAAAUAAAAAAUAAAAAAAUGGAUUUAAAAUUUAAAAUUAUUUCAACAUGUUUCUUCAAACUCAUUGUAUAUAUUUUCCUUAUUUAUAUAAAGAUUAAAUAAUUCAAAAAUAUACAAGUAUUUUAAUUAGUUUUGAUAAUAUUUGAUUUUGUUUUACAAUAAUAAACGAAAUAUGCUCAAAUGAAUGAACCAUUGAAGCAUACUAUGCAUUUUAUAUAAAGUUUUUUUAUAUUAGUACCCAUGUGAACUGAUUAUAAGAAACUGGGGACUAUCAAAACUGUACAUCUGGAUACUGAGGAUCAGCAGAACAGAUAUAAUAAAAAAUGUUCAUAUUUUCUAUAGUGUCACAUGGGACUUAGAAUGGUUCUUGGUACAUACGUUAAUUGAUUUGGAAUCUUAAUUAACCUAAUCUAUAAUUAAAAAAUGGAUAAAUUAAUUAAUUUAAGAAUAGUAACGGUCCAUUUUUUGUCGGGCCACAUGUAGCCCUUACCUGAUAUAUAAUAUAAAGUGGACAAGUUGGAGCAUGCUUCCCAGAGUGAUUUAAAAAUUGUUGAAAAUUAAUGUAGAUGGCACCACAUUUUAUAUUAUUGAAUACAUCCACAACCUUUAAUUACAACUGGCAUGGCCUGGCAUGACUUGUCCACGGAAUCCAUAUUAUUAAUCAAUACCCAUGUGACCUGGCCUAUCCCAUCCACCAUAAAGAUAUCUCUUACUUUGUUCUCUAUUCUCUCACAAUUCCCUCAGCUUCUCAUCCUGUACGUGCUGUAUUUUCUUGGCUUUCUGCUACUUUGAGUUGUUCCGAAAUGGCUGAUCAAAUUCCAUUCGGUGUUGUGGAGCACAUUUUGACCAAGUUGGGGUCCAAGGCGUUUCAAGAAAUUGGAUCCAUGUAUGGUGUUCCAAAGGAGAUGACCAAGCUCAAUGGGAAACUGGGCACCAUCAAGGCUGUGCUUUUGGAUGCUGAGGAGAAGCAGCAACAGCAGAGCAAUCGUGCAGUCAAAGAUUGGGUCCGGAGGUUCAGAGGUGUUGUUUAUGACGCAGAUGACUUGGUGGAUGACUAUGCAACCCAUUAUCUUCAGCGAGGAGGAUUGGGAAGGCAGGUCAGUGACUUCUUCUCAUCUGAAAAUCAAGUUGCUUUUCGUUUAAACAUGAGUCAUAGACUCGAAGAUAUCAAAGAAAGGAUAGAUGAUAUUGCAAAAGAAAUCCCCAUGUUAAAUCUGACUCCACGGGACAUAGUACUACACACACGGGUGGAGAAUAGUGGGAGAGACACCCAUUCAUUCGUGUUAAAAUCUGAAAUGGUAGGAAGAGAAGAAAACAAAGAGGAGAUAAUAGGGAAGUUAUUGUCGUCCAAGGGUGAAGAAAAGCUUUCGGUUGUUGCCAUUGUAGGCAUUGGGGGGUUGGGUAAGACCACCCUUGCUCAAUUGGUAUACAAUGAUGAAAGAGUGGUCAAUCAUUUUGAGUUUAAGAUAUGGGCUUGCAUUUCUGAUGAUUCUGGUGAUGGUUUUGAUGUUAAUAUGUGGAUCAAAAAAAUUUUAAAAUCUCUGAAUGAUGGGGGUGCUGAAAGUCUGGAGACUAUGAAAACUAAGCUUCAUGAAAAAAUAAGUCAAAAGAGGUACUUGCUAGUCCUCGAUGAUGUUUGGAAUCAAAAUCCUCAACAAUGGGAUCACGUGAGAACUUUAUUAAUGGUUGGUGCUAUAGGUAGUAAAAUUGUAGUAACCACCAGAAAACCUAGAGUUGCAUCACUCAUGGGAGAUUAUUUUCCAAUUAAUUUGAAAGGUCUUGAUGAAAACGAUUCUUGGAGGUUGUUUUCAAAAAUCACAUUUAAAGAUGGAGAGAAGGAUGUGCAUACAAACAUCACCCAAAUUGGAAAAGAAAUUGCAAAAAUGUGUAAGGGAGUUCCUCUCAUUAUUAAGUCUUUAGCAAUGAUAUUGCGGUCUAAAAGAGAACCGGGGCAGUGGUUGUCUAUUAGAAACAAUAAAAAUUUGCUGUCACUCGGAGAUGAAAAUGAGAAUGUUGUAGGGGUGCUGAAAUUAAGUUAUGAUAAUUUGCCAACUCAUUUGAGACAAUGUUUUACAUAUUGUGCUUUAUUUCCAAAAGACUAUGAGAUUGAGAAAAAGUUGGUGGUACAACUAUGGAUAGCACAAGGUUAUAUUCAAUCUUCAAAUGAUAAUAAUGAGCAAUUAGAGGAUAUAGGGGAUCAAUAUUUUGAGGAAUUAUUGUCAAGGUCAUUGUUGGAAGAGGUUGAAGAUGAUUUUGCUAAUACAGUAAUGUAUAAAAUGCAUGACCUUAUACAUGAUCUUGCACAAUCAAUUGUAGGAUCUGAGAUCCUUGUUUUAAGAAGUGAUGUAAAUAAUAUUCCAAAAGAAGCUCAUCAUGUAUCAUUGUUUGAAGAGAUAAAUCUUAUGAUCAAGGCUCUAAAGGGAAAACCCAUAAGAACCUUUCUUUGUAAAUAUUCUUAUGAAGAUAGUACAAUUGUAAAUUCAUUUUUUUCGAGUUUUAUGUGUCUACGUGCGUUGAGUUUAGAUGAUAUGGAUAUAGAGAAGGUGCCAAAGUGUUUAAGUAAAUUGAGUCAUUUAAGGUAUCUUGAUCUUUCCUACAACAAUUUCGAGGUACUUCCAAAUGCUAUUACAAGGUUAAAGAAUUUGCAAACACUAAAACUCACAAGCUGUCGAAGAUUAAAAAGAAUUCCAGACAAUACAGGAGAAUUGAUCAAUCUUAGACACUUGGAGAAUGAUAGCUGUUAUAACUUGGCUCAUAUGCCACAUGGAAUCGGCAAGUUGACUUUACUUCAAAGUCUACCAUUGUUUGUGGUUGGGAAUGACAUAGGGUUAAGGAAUCACAAAAUUGGUAGCUUGAGUGAAUUGAAAGGCCUUAACCAACUAAGAGGAGGGUUAUGCAUAAGUAAUCUUCAAAACGUGAGGGAUGUUGAACUGGUAUCCAGGGGGGGAAUUUUGAAAGAAAAACAAUAUCUUCAGUCCUUGAGAUUGGAAUGGAAUCGGUGGGGCCAAGAUGGGGGGGAUGAGGGUGAUCAGUCAGUGAUGGAAGGCCUUCAACCACACCAACAUCUAAAGGAUAUCUUUAUAGACGGGUAUGGAGGUACGGAGUUUCCAAGUUGGAUGAUGAAUAGCCUGCUUCCUAACCUAAUUAAAAUUGAAAUUUGGGGAUGUUCAAGAUGCAAAAUUCUGCCACCCUUUUCUCAACUCCCUUCUCUCAAGUCUUUGGGGCUUCAUGAUAUGAAAGAAGUGGUGGAGUUAAAGGAGGGUUCAUUAACAACGCCACUCUUCCCAUCUCUUGAAUCGCUCGAACUCUCUUUCAUGCCAAAGUUGAAGGAAUUGUGGAGGAUGGACUUACUAGCAGAGGAAGGUCCUUCCUUUUCUCAUCUUUCUCAAUUAAAGAUCAGUUAUUGCCAUAACUUGGCAUCCUUGGAACUGCAUUCUUCUCCUUCUCUUUCUCAAUUAGAGAUCCAUUAUUGCCCAAACUUGACAUCCUUGGAACUGCCGUCAUCUCUUUGUCUUUCUAAUUUAUAUAUCGGAUAUUGCCCUAACUUGGCAUCCUUGGAACUGCAUUCUUCUCCUUGUCUUUCUCGAUUAGAAAUCAGGGAAUGCCCUAACUUGGCAUCCUUCAAAGUGGCUCCAUUACCUUAUCUUGAGACACUAUCUCUGUUCACAGUUAGAUAUGGUGUGAUAUGGCAGAUAAUGUCUGUCUCUGCUUCAUUGAAGUUUCUGUAUAUUGAAAGCAUAGAUGAUAUGAUAUCUCUCCCGAAGGAGCUACUUCAACAUGUUUCUGGCUUGGUAACGUUACAGAUCCGUGAGUGUCCUAACUUGCAAUCCUUGGAACUGCCCUCAUCUCCUUCUCUUUCUGAAUUAAGGAUCAUAAAUUGCCCUAACUUGGCAUCCUUCAAUGUGGCAUCAUUACCUCGUCUUGAGAAACUAAGCCUGCGUGGAGUCAGAGCAGAGGUACUGAGGCAGUUAAUAUUUGUCUCUGCUUCUUCUUCAUUGAAGUCUCUGCGUAUACGGGAGAUUGAUGGUAUGAUAUCUCUCCCAGAGGAGCCGCUUCAAUAUGUUUCCACUCUCGAAACUCUCUACAUUGUUAAGUGCUCUGGUUUGGCAACAUUACUACACUGGAUGGGCAGCCUUUCCUCGCUUACGGAACUUAUUAUUUAUGACUGCUCUGAAUUGACAUCACUGCCAGAAGAGAUCUGUUCCCUUAAAAAACUGCAGAAAUUUUAUUUCUGUGAUUAUCCACACCUAGAGAAAAGAUACAACAAGGAAACAGGUAAAGACCGGGCCAAGAUUGAUCAUAUCCCACGUAUUAAUUUCCAAAGUGAUCGAGUUAUGGAAUAUAAGGUCCGAAAUCCCUAACCUUUCUUCCCAUUUUUAUUAUUUAAGAAUCAAAAUGCUAUGUUUUCAUUUUAUUAUUAUGUUUUCACUGUAUCCUUGGCACCUCAUAUGUUUGUUUUUACUGCUCACAUUAAUAAUUUUGAAAUUUUUUUCCAGCUUGGAUGUGCUUUCCGAUGAUGUGCACUAAACUAACCAUUUUACUUGGAGUUGUACAUUCUAAGAGUUUGAGGAAAUACUGAGGUCUGAUAUGAUAACUCUAAAUCUUAAACGUUGUUUUGUGUUUGGAACGUUACUACACUUGAUACAUACCCUCACCUCACUUACAGAGCUUGGAAAUCGUGGCUGCCUUGAAUCGACGUCACUGUCAGAAUAUAUGUUCCCUCAAAAACCUGCAGACACUAAAUAAUCUGCAUCUGUUCACAGAAAGAUGCUGAAAGGAAAGGUGAAGACCAACCCAAGAUUGCUCAUAUGCCACAAAUUGAUAUCAUACAUCCAUGAAGAUUGAACUGAUACACAAUGCCUUUCAGGUCCGAAAUCCCUAACUUUUCUUCUCAUUUUCUAUGACUUCAUUUUCAUUAUCUUACUUUUAAAAUGCUCUGUUUUCAUUUGUUUUGGUAGUUCUUUGUAUUUGUGCCUUGUUUGAUUAAAUGCUUACUUCAAUUAAGUUUGAAAAUUUUUACAUCUUCAAAUUAUUUUAUUGUAAGUGUUUUGCAUUCUAAGAAUUUGAGGAAAUACUGAGCUCUAAUAUAACUAGUAGAGUCCACCAUUCCUAAGAAGCUUACCAUUGCCUAAUGCCCAAAGGAUCCCGAAAGGAGACAACUUUGGAUUGGCUUGAAGAUUUCACAUGGUCCAAAAAUUUGUAUUUACUAGACGCCUGAUACAAAAAGUAGUUUAAAUUUAGCCAUUAAUAAUAUAACUUUUUUAUUAGAGAAAUAAUUGCCAAACAAAUGCAAAAUAGAAAAUGGUGUUAAUGAAUUCAGUACUUCAUCUAUGUUGCAGUUUAGUAGCUUUUGUUAGAUAACGAGUAUGGGGUUGGGUUUAUCUGGUUACCAUUCCAAAUAUUCUUAAAAAAAUCAUCAAGGCUUUGUUUGGUUUCUUGAAAAUUUGAGGGAAAAAAUAGAGAGAAAAAGUGGAAGGAAAAAAAAAAGUGGAAGUCAAUAACUUGGCAUCCUUGGAACUGCAUUCUUCUCCUUGUCUUUCUCGAUUAGAAAUCAGGGAAUGCCCUAACUUGGCAUCCUUCAAAGUGGCUCCAUUACCUUAUCUUGAGACACUAUCUCUGUUCACAGUUAGAUAUGGUGUGAUAUGGCAGAUAAUGUCUGUCUCUGCUUCGUUGAAGUCUCUGUAUAUUGGAAGCAUAGAUGAUAUGAUAUCUCUCCAGAAGGAUCUACUUCAACAUGUUUCUGGCUUGGUAACGUUACAGAUCCGUGAGUGUCCUAACUUGCAAUCCUUGGAACUGCCCUCAUCUCCUUCUCUUUCUGAAUUAAGGAUCAUAAAUUGCCCUAACUUGGCAUCCUUCAAUGUGGCAUCAUUACCUCGUCUUGAGAAACUAAGCCUGCGUGGAGUCAGAGCAGAGGUACUGAGGCAGUUCAUGUUUGUCUCUGCUUCUUCUUCAUUGAAGUCUCUGCGUAUACGGGAGAUUGAUGGUAUGAUAUCUCUCCCAGAGGAGCCGCUUCAAUAUGUUUCCACUCUCGAAACUCUCUACAUUGUUAAGUGCUCUGGUUUGGCAACAUUACUACACUGGAUGGGCAGCCUUUCCUCGCUUACGGAACUUAUUAUUUAUGACUGCUCUGAAUUGACAUCACUGCCAGAAGAGAUCUAUUCCCUUAAAAAACUGCAGAAAUUUUAUUUCUGUGAUUAUCCAGACCUAGAGGAAAGAUACAACAAGGAAACAGGUAAAGACCGGGCCAAGAUUGCUCAUAUCCCACAUGUUCGUUUCAACAGUGAUUUGGAUAUGUAUGGGAAGGUAGGUCCGAAAUCCCUAACCUUUCUUCCCAUUUUUAUUAUUUAAGAAUCAAAAUGCUAUGUUUUCAUUUUGUCUCUGGUAAUUCUUUUAUGUUGGCACCUCAUAUGUUUGUUUAAAUGCUCACAUCAAUAACUUUUUGAAAAAUUUUCCAGAUUUGCUGAUGCUGUGUACUAAACUAAUCAUUUUACUUGCAGUUGUACAUUCUAAGAGUUUGAGGAAAUACUGAGGUCUGGUAUGAUAACUCUCAAUCCUUGGAACUGCAUUCAUCUCCUUCUCUUUCUCGAUUAACGAUCCAUGAUUGCCCAAACUUGGCAUCAUUACCUCGUCUUGAGGAACUAAGCCUGCGUGGAGUCAGAGCAGAGGUACCGAGGCAGUUCAUGUUUGUCUCUGCUUCUUCUUCAUUGAAGUCUUUGCAUAUACGGAAGAUUGAUGGUAUGAUAUCUCUCCCAGAGGAGCCGCUUCAAUAUGUUUCCACUCUCGAAACUCUACAUUGUUAAGUGCUCUGGCUUGGCAACAUUACUACACUGGAUGGGCAGCCCUUCCUCGCUUACGGAACUUAUUAUUUAUGACUGCUCUGAAUUGACAUCACUGCCAGAAGAGAUCUAUUCCCUUAAAAAACUGCAGAAAUUUUAUUUCUGUGAUUAUCCAGACCUGGAGGAAAGAUACAAGAAGGAAACAGGUAAAGACCGGGCCAAGAUUGCUCAUAUCCCACGUGUUCGUUUCAAGUGUGAUUUCAAAUUGAAAUGGAAGGUAGGUCCGAAAUCCCCAACCUUUCUUCCCAUUUUUAUUAUUUAAGAAUCAAAAUGCUAUGUUUUCAUUUUAUUAUUAUGUUUUCAUUGUAUCCCUGGCACCUCAUAUGUUUGUUUUUACUGCUCACAUUAAUAAUUUUGAAAUUUUUUUCCAGCUUGGAUGCGCUUUCCGAUGAUGUGCACUAAACUAACCAUUUUACUUGGAGUUGUACAUUCUUAGAGUUUGAGGAAAUACUGAGGUCUGAUAUGAUAACUCUCAAUCUUAAAUGUUGUUUUGUGUUUGGAACGUUACUACACUUGAUACAUACCCUCACCUCACCUCACUUACAGACCCAAGAAUACAUAGGGCCACACUUGGUGAAGGUUUCAUCAGUAAGGAGAACCAUUUCAAGUAUGAAAUCCUCCCUUCUCAUUUUCUGAUGACUUCAUUUUUAUUCAAUAUCCAUUUGAAAUUAUUUAAGUUCAUUUUCUUUAGAUAUUAUAUUUUCUUGCUUGCUCAAUAAUUUCAUUUAAGUAAGUUUUUUGGAUAUCACAUUUUCUUUGGGGUUUUUUUUCUUUUUAGAAUAAUUUCAAAAUGUCAUUUUUAACUAUUCACAAAAUUUGAUCAUAGUUGAGUGAUUAAAAUUCAAGUUUAUUCUUAUUAUCAUUAGUAGUUAUUUGAUAUGUUCGUUUGCUAAUACAAAAAUAAGACUAACAAGUAAUGUGCAUAGAGUUUGUAGAAGAGAAGAAAGAUUUGAUCCAAGAUAUUCCUAAAGAUCGGAAAAUUUCAAAGCCACCCAAGAUCGCACAGGUUGAAUUCGGAUUCAUCCAGUUUACAAUCCAUUAAUUCUACUUAUAUCAUCUUUGUUAUGUUACAAUUUGCCUUUACUUGUUAUGCAGCCUACCUUAAUAAUUUGGGGAGACCAAGAUAAGGUAUUCCUAGUAGAACUGGCUCACAAAUUGAAAAGGUAAACUUGUAUCACCUGCCUACAUGCCUACAACAAUACAAACACUAGCUCAUGUCUUUCUCACUAUUGAAAUUGUUAUUGCGUGCAGGCAUUUCAGGCGAGGAGACCCAACUUGUGAUCAUAGAGCAUACUUUUAUCAUAGAGAAGCCCAAGGAAAUAUUUAAGCACUUGAAAUCAUUUCUCAUUGAUUUGCUUCCACCUCCCAAGCAACACCUAGAACCACUCCCACCAUGACGAAGUUAAAAGGUACUAAUGCAACAUUCUCAAUAUAUUAGAAUAUAUCGAAGGAAGGGUGGCCACAUAUGAAGACCCUAUUCCAAGGUCAAAUUUUAGAUUUUUGUGUUUUUCCUAUCACUAUUCCUAUACUAUUACUAGUGCACCUUAUUUGUCAAGAUGAUUAAAAGGGAAUUCCCUAGGAUAAUUAGUGUCUCAAGUGAUCUUGAGGUUCAUAAAUUUUUGGUUUCCACAAGAUAGGUGCCAACUAUUUUUUUUUUUUUUUUUUUUACACCCAUGCAAUAUUCCAGUCAUCUAUUAACAAGGGCUAAAAUUUCUUGUAGAGAAUAGAAUAAAGAACUAAAUUACAUGAAAAUAGGACAUUAUUAUUCUAUUUACAAGUAAGGGCCAAAAAUUGUUGAGGGCCAUCAAGCACAUUGUUCCUAAAAUAAUAACAUCCAUGUUGUUGAGCAAAAGUUUUUUAUAUUGGCACCUCAGAUGUUUGUUUAAAUGCUCACAUCAAUAACUUUGAAAAUAUUUUCUAGAUUUUUGAAAAAUUGUAAUGUUGUGCACUAAACUAAUCAUUUUACUUGGAGUUCUACAUUCUAAGAGUUUGAGAAAAAACUGUCUGAUAUGACAACUCUCAAUCUUAAAUGUUGUUUUGUGUUUGGAAUAUUACUGCACUUGAUAGAUACCCUCACCUCUCUUACAGAACUUGGAAUUCAUGGCUACCCUGAAUUGACAUCCCUGGCAGAAGAUAUGUUCCCUCAAAAGCCUGUAGACACUAAAACAAUUUGCAUAUGUUCACACUUAGAGGAAAGAUGCUGAAAGGAAAAGUGAAGACUAAGCGAAGAUUGCUUAUAUCCCACAAAUUGAUAUCAUACAUCCAUGAAGAUUGAACUGAUACAAAAUGCCUUUCAGGUUCGAAAUCCCUAACUUUUCUUCUUAUUUUCUAUGACUUCAUUUUUAUUAUCUUACAUUCAAAAAUCCUAUGUUUUCAUUUGUUUUGGUAGUUCUUUUUAUUUGCACCUUAUUUGUUUUAUUAAAUGCUUACUCCAGUAAGUUUAAAAAUUUUUACAUCUUCAAAUCAUUUUGCUUGAGUGUUUUGCAUUCUAAGAGUUUGAGGAAAUAUUGAACUCUAAUAUAAAUAGUAUUGGUCAUAGAGUCUUCCUUUCUUAAGAAGCUUACCAUUAACCUAAUGGCCAAAGGAUCCCAAAAGGAAACAACUUUGGGUUGGCUUGAAGAUUUCACAUGGUCCAAACAUUCAUAUUUACUAGAUGCCUGAUAUAAAAUAAAUUUUGCUCUCUUUUCAAUUUAGCCAUUGAUGUAGUCUAAAUGUUUUAUUAGAGCAAUAAUUGUCCAGUAAAUGCAAAAUAGAGGAUGGUGUUAAUGAAUUCAGUACUUCAUCUAUGUUGUAGACUUGUAGUUUAGCAGCUUCUGUUGAUAAUGAGUGUGAGGUUGGCUUUAUCAUGUCACUGUUCCAAAUAUUCUUAAAAAAAAUCAUUUAAGCUCUAUUAGGUUCUUAGAAAAUUUAAGGGAAAAUGUGAGGAAAACAAAAUAGAGAAGAAAAGUGGAAGGAAAAAAAAGUGAAAGUCAAUGAAUUAUUUUUGUAUGCUACUUCAAACUCACUUCACUUUUUUUAACUCUUCAAUAUAAAGAUUCAAUCAUUUGAAAAAUGUGUAAAUUUCUAAUUAAUUUUAAUUAUAUUUGAUUUUCUUUGGAAUUCUCAUUUCUUCUCAUUUUCUUAUGACUUCAUUUUUAUUCAAUAUCUAUAUGAAAUUAUUUAUGUUCAUUUUCUUUAGAUAUUACAUUUUUUUGCUUUCUCAAUAAUUUCAUUCAAGUUCUUUUGGAUAUCACAUUUUCUUUGGUGUUUUUUUUAGAAUAAUUCAAAAUGUCUUUUUUAACGGUUCACAAAAUUUGAUCAUAGUUGAGUGAUUAAAAUUCAAGUUUAUUAUUAUUAUUAUUAUUAUUAUUAUUAUUAUUAUUAUUAUUAUUAUUGGCUAUUUGAUAUAUUUGUUUUCUUAUACAGAUAAAAGACUGGCAGCUAAUGUGCAUAGAAUUUGUAGAAGAGAAUAAAGAUUUGAUCUAAGUUAUUUCUAAUAGGUUGAGGAAUUCAUUCUUGUAAAAUUUGAGUGUUAAAGCCUUCAAGAGGUUUGAAUCUUGAAGAAAUUAUGUAAGAGCCCAUUGGAGCCAGAAUCCAAGUGUAAAGGAGAUUGGAAGCUUGGUUGAAGCUUCAAGUUAGUGAAACCCUCACUCGGUUAGGAGAUUGAGGAGAGUGGACGUAGGCAAGGAAAUGUCGAACCACUAUAAAAUCCAAGUUUAAAUUCUCUAACUCUAUCUCUUUAUUUUUUUUUAUUAUAUUGUACUUGAAUUUGUUGUGUUGAAAAAGUUUUUGAAAAACCCAAUUCACCCUCCUCUUAGGUGUUUUUCUCAUUUAAGCAUAGCCUUUAUUUUCUCACACUUGAAAUCCUUUCUCAUUAAUUUGCUUCCACCUCAUAAGCAACCCUCGAAACCACUUACACCAUGACAAGGUGAAAAGAAACUAAUGCUGCAUUCUCAAUAUAUAAGAAGAUAUCAAAGGAAGGUUGGCCACAUAUAAGGACCCUGUUUCUAAGGUAGAAUUUUAGAUUUUUGUGUUUUUCCUAUCACUACUCCUAUACUAUUACCAGUGCACCUUAUUUGUCAAGAUGAUUAAAAAGGAAUUCCCUAGGAUAACUAGUGUCUCAAGUGAUCUUGAGGUUCAUAAAUUUUUGGUUUCCACAAGAUAGGUGCCAACUAUUUUUUUUUUUUUUACACCCAUGCAAUAUUCCAGUCAUCUAUUAACAAGGGCUAAAAUUUCUUGUAGAGAAUAGAAUAAAGAACUAAAUUACAUGAAAAUAGGACAUUGUUAUUCUAUUUACAAGUAAGGGCCAAAAAUUGUUGAGGGUCAUCAAGUACAUUGUUCCUAAAAUAAUAGCAUCCAUGAAGAUUGAACUGAUACGAAAUGCCUUUCGAGUUUGAAAUCCCUAAAUUUUCUUCUUAUUUUCUAUGACUUCAUUUUUAUUAUCUUACAUUCAAAAAUCCUCUGUUUUCAUUUGUUUUGGUAGUUCUUUUUAUUUGCACCUUAUUUGUUUUAUUAUACUCCAGUAAGUUUGAAAAUUUUUACAUCUUCAAAUCAUUUUGCUUGAGUGUUUUGCAUUCUAAGAGUUUGAGGAAAUAUUGAGCUCUAAUAUAAAUAGUAUUGGUCAUAGAGUCUUCCUUUCUUAAGAAGCUUACCAUUGACCUAAUGGCCAAAGGAUCCCAAAAGAAAACGACUUUGGAUUGGCUUGAAAAUUUCACAUGGUCCAAACAUUCAUAUUUACUAGAUGCCAGAUACAAAAGAAAUUUUGCUCUCUUUUUAAUUUAGCCAUUGAUGUAGUCUAAAUGUUUUAUUAGAGCAAUAAUUGUCCACUAAAUGCAAAAUAGAGAAUGGUGUUAAUGAAUUCAGUACUUCAUCUAUGUUGUAGACUUGUAGUUUAGCAGCUUCUGUUGAUAAUGAGUGUGGGGUUGGCUUUAUCAUGUUACUGUUCCAAAUAUUCUUAAAAAAAAUCAUUUAAGCUUUGUUUGGUUCUUAGAAAAUUUGAGGGAAAAUGUGAGGAAAACAAAAUAGAGAGGAAAAGUGGAAGGAAAAAAAAGUGAAAGUCAAUGAAUUAUUUUUGUAUGCUACUUCAAACUCACUUCACUUUUUUUAACUCUUCAAUAUAAAGAUUAAAUCAUUUGAAAAAUGUGUAAAUUUCUAAUUAAUUUUAAAUAUAUUUGAUUUUCUUUGGUAUUUUCCAAAAGAUAAUCAAAUAUGAGAAAAUCAUUUUCCUUAACAUUUUUUUUUUCUUAGUACUUUUAGUGAACCAAACAUAACCUAAAUGUUUUAGUUUAGUAGUUUCAUCAAAUUAGAUAGACAACCUCACAUCUCUUAGUGAGCUCAGGUGCUAUGUCAAUUAAUGCUUUGUCUCUACUUCUUCAUUGAAGUCUCUAUUUAUUGGAUGCACAGAUGAUAUGAUCCAAACUCAAAUUGAACACUACUCUUGUUUUGCAACAUUACUGCACUCGAAAGACAACUUCAACUCACUUAUAGACCUUCUUAUUGGUGAUUGCACUAAAUCGACACCACUUUGGAAGAGAUGUGUUCCACAUAGAAAAUAUUUCAUUAUAUGCACCUACUCGCAAGAUACCAAAGGGAAACAAGUGAAUACUUGCCUAGGAAUACAAAGGCCAUACUUAGUGAAGGUUCCAUCAAUAAGGAGAACCAUUUCAAGUAUGGAAUUCUCAUUUAUUCUCAUUUUCUUAUGGCUUCAUUUUUAUUCAAUAUCUAUAUGAAAUUAUUUAUGUUCAUUUUCUUUAGAUAUCACAUUUUUUUGUUUUCUCAAUAAUUUCAUUCAAGUUCUUUGGAUAUCACAUUUUGUUUGGUGUUUUUUUUAGAAUAAUUCAAAAUGUCUUUUUUAACGAUUCACAAAAUUUGAUCACAGUUGAGUGAUUAAAAUUCAAGUUUAUUAUUAUUAUUAUUAUUGGUUAUUUGAUAUAUUUGUUUUCUAAUACAGACAAAAUACUAGCAGCUAAUGUGCAUAGAAUUUGUAGAUAGAAUUUGUAGAAGAGAAUAAAAAUUUGAUCUAAGCUAUUCCUAAAGACCAUAAACUUUUAGAGCUACCCAAGAUCUAACAGGUUAAAUUUUGAUUCACUUAGUUUACAAUCCACUAAUUAUCCUUAUGUCAUUUUUGUUAUGUUACAAAUUGCCUUUACUUGUUAUGCAACCUAUCUUAAUAAUUUGGGAAGACCAAGAUAACAUCUUCCUAGUAGAACUGGCUCAAAAAUUGAAAAGGUACACUCAUAUCACCUAUCUACAUGCCCACAACAUUAUAAACACUAGCUCAUGUGUUCCUCACUAUUGAGAUUGUUGUUGCAUGCAGGCAUUUUGGGCGAGGAGGCCCGACUUGUGAUCAUCAAUAACACAAGGCAUGCUUUUAUACAGAGAAUCCCAAAUAAACAUUUAAGCACUUUGUUAGCCCAAGGGUUCUCCUAAUCAGGUUUUGAUGAUAACAAACCAUGGUUAAGUGACUAAUUGGUUUGAAUGAUAAAGAAUCUUAGGUAUAAAUUUGGAAAUUCAUCAAAUGAUCAAAUGGAUACAAGAUCGAGACUUUUGGAAGACUUUUGAUCAUAGGAAACAAAUGUAAGAUGAAUGCAUGGGUGCACUUAGGUUUUACAUAUCUUUUCAUGAAUCUUUGAAAACUCGGUUUAUUCCUUAAAAUUACGAUUUCAUUAAAACCCGAGUUUUAUCAAAUGUACCUUAGGCAAAACAUUUCAAAAUUGGCAUAUUAAUUUACCUAAAGACCUUGCCUAAGUGUUAGAAAGGAAAAGAAUUGAAAAAUAUAGGUUUUCAGGGCCAAAAGGCUGAACUGAUCGAGGCACAUGCCAACCGGCUCAACCAACCAGGGAACCGGUCAAUCGGUUGCUCUUGCCCGAUCGAGAUCUGGUCGAGGAGUGUCAAAAACACUUUCUCUCAUCCAGUAACCUUCUCUUCCCAGUCGAGGUACUCUCCUUACCUCUGGUCGAGGUUCGGUCGAGGCAACGGUAACAUGCCAAAGCAUUAAAUGCUUCAACGACUAGUGAACCAAUCGACCCCCGGCUCGACCGGUUGAGGCUAUUUUUUGCUCUUUUUGGCUCCCGAGCUUAGAAACCAAUAAAUUGAGAGCUCCACUUCAUUUAUGACAUAGAGAAAACUUGCAAUCAAUUGUCUACCCACUUGUUCUUGCCUUAAAAGCUCUCAUUUAUUUCUUAGUGCAUUAAAUCCUCACUUGCAUAUCCUUUAGUACACCCUUGUGAAUCAUCCUAGCUUUGAUUUGUAUUUGAACUAUCAUUGAGGUAGAUUGAGGGAUUCAUUCUUGUAAAAAUUGAGUAUUAAAGCCUUCAAGAGGUUUGAAUCUUGAAGAGAUUAUGUAAGAGCCCAUUGGAGCCAGAAUCCAAGUGUAAAGAAGAUUGGAAGCUUUGUUGAAGCUUCAAGUUAGUGGAACCCUCACUCGAUUAGGAGAUUGAGGAGAGUGGACGUAGGCAAGGAAAUGUUGAACCACUAUAAAAUCCGAGUUUAAAUUCUCUAACUCUAUCUCUUUAUUUUUUAUUAUAUUGUGCUUGAAUUUGUUGUGUUGAAAAAGUUUUUGAAAAACCCAAUUCACCCAUUUCUUAGGUGUUUUUCUCAUUUAAGCAUAGCCUUUAUUUUCUCACUCUUGAAAUCCUUUCUCAUUAAUUUGCUUCCACCUCAUAAGAAACCGUCAAAACCACUUACACCAUGACAAGGUGAAAAGAAACUAAUGCAACAUUCUGAAUAUAUCAGAAGAUAUCAAAGGAAGGUUGGCCACAUAUGAGAACCUUGUUUCUAAGGUAGAAUUUUAGAUUUUUUUGUUUUUCUUGUCACUGUUUCUAUACCAUUACUAGUGCACCUUAUUUGUCAAGGUGAUUAAAAGGGAAUUCCCUAGGAUAACUAAUGUCUUAGAUGAUCUUAAGGUUCAUAAAUUUUUGGUUUCAACAAGAUAGGCGUCAAACCAUUUUUAUUUUUUUCUACACCCAUGCAAUAUUCCAUUCAUUUAUUAAUAAGGGCUAAAAUUUCUUGUAGAGAAUGGAAUAAAGAACUAGAUUAAAUUAAAUAAGACAUUAUUAGUCUAUUUACAAGUAAGGGCAAAAAAUUCUUGAGGGUCAUUAAGCACACUAUUCCUAAAAUAAUAACAUCCAUGUCGUCGAGCAAAAGUUUAUUGCAAUUACAUUAGCAUAUAAAACAAAACUAAUUUUUUUAUUAUUUAUGUUCACACCUUAUCCAUUUGAUAAAAUGCUUAAACAAGUAAGUUUGAAUUUUUUUUGUCUUCAAAUCAAUUUAAAUUUUACAUUCAAAAGUUGAAUUAAUUUUUUUUUUUGGAAAAUUUAACUGCACUUUAGAAGUUUGUGAUUAUUCUUUGGUCCAUCUUAAAAUGAGUUCCCGCAUUUUUCCAUUCCUGAAAUUAAAAUCACAAUAAAAAGUUUUAGAUUGACCUAAAAUUUUCUCAUGGCCUAGAAAUUCAUAUCUACUAGAUGGCUAAAGCAAAAAAACACUUCUAUCUUGUAUUUUAAGUAAUCCCUGCUUGCUAUUUGUUUAUUGAGAGCAUCAUACAAGUUGUGAUUAUAUUUCUUAAUUUUUUUAUAUGAUAAGACGGUAACUGGAUUGAGAAAGAUGCAACUUGUAGAGCAGAAAAUUUCUUGACUACUUUCCUUGUAUUUGCUUUGUGUGUAUCAACUGUUCUGUUAAUUAUUUUUUUAAAAUAUCACUAAAACAAACCUAUUAUGUCAAUGCUCUCUAUUGUUAUGUAUCAUAAUUUAGCUAUUUUUUCCCUAGAAAUCAUGCUUGUUAUUGUGUUAAUCAGUAGGUAGCAUAAGAACUAUUUUGUUCAAGUCAUUUUGUAUUGGCAUUCUUCAUGUUUUAAAAUAUUGUCAGACUAGCAAUUUUACUGCAGAUAUAAUGUUCUCAAAUCAAUGCAAAAAGGGACGUUGUGGGGCUUGGGCACAACCUUCCUUAAAUAGUUGAAUUGAGGGUUUCUAUAAACUAGGUCUCUAUAUCAACAGAUUCUACAUUUCAUCACUAUGGGGACCUUACAAUAAAUACCGCAAAAAACUUCAUUUACUACAUAGUAAGGAUAAUCCUAAGGACUUAAAAGCUUGAGUUGUCUUUUCCAUGGCAGCUUCAGAUCUCUUAAUAAGCUCCAAGUCAUUGUCUACCUUGAAUAUAAAUCACUGCUAGAAGUAUGUGCCCUCAACAUUCCCAUGUUCUCGAUAUUGACUAGAUAUUUGUUGCUAAUCCAUGAAGAAUUGAAGGGAUCUUUGAUAAUGACAUCUAUAAUGUACUUCAAGUUCAUGAUCCAAACCCUCUUCUUGCUUUCAAUAACUUCAUUUUUUUUUUAUAUUACUUUGUGGUCAAUGUUAUAAGGAUGUUGUAUUUUGUUUACCUGAUUCUCAUCCAUCAGCACACAUGAAAGGAAAAGUUUUACAUUGCUUUCCUUCCCUUUGCUCUGUGUUUGUAUAUGUUUAUGCAGCUAAUGCGAACUUCCACCAUAACUUUUUAAGUUUUUUCAUUCUUGAGUUUGGGAAACAACUGGAUUUGAUUGUAAUAUUUCUUGUAGAUAUCACCUUUCUUAAAAAGCUUGCAUUUAUUCACAUUUUCAAGAUGGCUAAGUCAUCUGAUUAUGCUUAUAACUUUUGGUUUCUAUUAAAUUCAGGUAUGAUGUUUGCAAUGCUAACCCCCUUACUCCUCUUGAAGACUACAUAAGUUUCUAGUGCUGUUACUUUAAUGGUUAUAGUCAAUGUAUCCUCUUGUUACUUCCUGCUUGCAUUCUAUAUGUUCAAGAGCUUUAUUAAAGUAAUUAUUUUAUUGAAGAUAUAAUUGUUUUCAGGUCAAAGCAAAAUUGAAUAAUGACGUGGUUUCAACAACUUCUCAAAAGUAAUUGGAAAGUAAGGAACUUUGUGGUAGUAUUCUGAUAUCACAUUGGGCCUUCAAAUUGUUGUCUUGAAUUGACAUAAAUAACAUAAUUUCUUUCCCAGUUAAGUUGCUUCAACAUGUUAUUAUGCUUCAAACUCUUUCAAUUAUGUGUUGUUUAGGUUUGGCAACAUUAGUACACUGGAUAUGUUGCCUCGAGUUACUUACACGACAUAAAAUUCAUCUUUGUUGUUAACUAGCAUCACUACCACAAGAUGAGUUCCCUCAGCAUUCUACAGACAACUAUAAUUUGGGACAAUUCUGGUUUGGCAACAUUAUCGGAGUUGAUAGGCAACCUAACAAAAACCUUUAAAUUUAUAUUUAUCCCGAACUAGCAUCACUGCUGGAAGACGUGCAUCCUUAGCACCCUAUAACCACUCAUAAUUGGAGACUGUUAUGGUUUGUAAACAUUCAACAGACUUGAUAGGUAACCUUGCACCAGUUACAGAGCUUCAAAUUCAUGGCUAUCUUGAAUUGACAUCACUUUCAAACUAGAUGGUUCAUCCAAACCUCAGUUGACACCCAUAAUUCAAGACUUCUCCAUUUUGGCAAUGAUAGCAGAUUUGAUAAGCAUCCCUACUUCACUUACAUACACUAAAAUUGAUAGCUACCUCGGAUUCACAUCAUUGUCACAAGAGAUUGGUUCCUUUAUAUCCCUGCAGACACUUGUGAUCUUUUAUCAUCCAUGUAUAUUAGAAAGACUUAAAAGGGAAAUAGAUGAAGAUAGGCCCAAUAAUCUUCAGUCCUAGAUAUUGAUAUGUGGUGAAGAUUGGACUAAUAUAGAGUUAGUUCAGGUUUGAAAUCCCAAUCUUUCUUCUCAUUUUUUAUGGUUUUGUUUUUAUCAAUAUGCUUUGUUUACAUUCUAUAUGGUAACUUUUGUAUGUAUUAGCAUAUAGAUCAAAAAGGACUUAGAUGAUUAAUUUGAAAAGUUUGCAUCCUCAAUUAAUUAGUAAUUAAAGACCAAACUAAUCAUAUUACUUUAAGUCUUGCAUUGUAAGAGUUUGGGAAAAUGUUAGGGUUGACUGAACUACUAUUUUAUAACAGAUUUUGCCUUACUCAAGAAUCUUGUGAUUAUUCCUUAGCACAAUCAUUUCUCGUGUCUAAGAAAUUCAUAUCUACUACAUGUCCAAAGAAUUUAGUAGCAUUCAAAAUUUAUGCUUUCUUUCAAGUCAGGUGUAUUGCUUGCAGUUCUAACAUGUUUCCUAUUUUGAACGUUGUAUUGUUAUUUUACUAUCAAUGUGUUAAGAGCAUUAUACUCUAUUUUCUAUAAUGUUGUUUACUUGUCAUAAGUAUUAAUUAUUUUAUUGCAAAUGUACUUGUUGCCAAGUUAAAGCAAAAGAGGAAAGUGAGGAUUUUUCAUGGACCAAUGCCUUUCUCAGUUGCUGCCACACUUGACUUCUCUCUAAGUUGUUGAAAAUUUAAAAGUGUGGUAGCAUAAAGUAUUCAGCUCAAGUGCUUUAGUGACUCACUACCCUUGAAGCUUUAGAAGUUGUCAAUACAAUUGGGGUUUCAACAUGUAACCAUUUUGGAAAUUCUAAGAAGUGUAAGUAUUAUGGUUUUACAACUUUAUUAGACUAGAUAGGCAACUUCAAAUUGCUGAAUGCCCUGAAUUAAAAUCACUACUAGAAGGAACCCAUGAGCACUCUAUAGAAACUCAUUGUAAGAGUUUGGGAAAAUGUUAGGGUUGACUGAACUACUAUUUUAUAACAGAUUUUGCCUUACUCAAGAAUCUUGUGAUUAUCCCUUGGCACAAUCAUUUCUCGUGUCUAAGAAAUUCAUAUCUACUACAUGGCCAAAGAAUUUAGUAGCAUUCAAAAUUUAUGUUUUCUUUCAAGUCAGGUGUAUUGCUUGCAAUUCUAACAUGUUUCCUAUUUUGAAUGUUGUAUUGUUAUUUUACUAUCAAUGUGUUAAGAGCAUUAUACUCUAUUUUCUAUAAUGUUGUUUACUUGUCAUAUGUAUUAAUUAUUUUAUUGCAAAUGUACUUGUUGCCAAGUUAAAGCAAAAGAGGAAAGUGAGGAUUUUUCAUGGACCAAUGCCUCUCUCAGUUGCUGCCACACUUGACUUCUCUCUAAGUUGUUGAAAAUUUAGAAGUGUGGUAGCAUAAAGUAUUCAGCUCAAGUGCUUUAGUGCCUCACUACCCUUGAAGCUUUAGAAGUUGUCAAUACAAUUGGGGUUUUAACAUGUAACCAUUUUGGAAAUUCUAAGAAGUGUAAGUAUUAUGGUUUUACAACUUUAUUAGACUAGAUAGGCAACUUCAAAUUGUUGAAUGCCUUGAAUUAAAAUCACUACUAGAAGGAACCCAUGAGCACUCUAUAGAAACUCAUUGUAAGAGUUUGGGAAAAUGUUAGGGUUGAUUGAACUACUAUUUUAUAACAGAUUUUGCCUUACUCAAGAAUCUUGUGAUUAUCCCUUAGCACAAUCAUUUCUCGUGUCUAAGAAAUUCAUAUCUACUACAUGGCCAAAGAAUUUAGUAGCAUUCAAAAUUUAUGUUUUCUUUCAAGUCAGGUGUAUUGCUUGCAAUUCUAACAUGUUUCCUAUUUUGAACGUUGUAUUGUUAUUUUACUAUCAAUGUGUUAAGAGCAUUAUACUUUAUUUUCUAUAAUGUUGUUUACUUGUCAUAUGUAUUAAUUAUUUUAUUGCAAAUGUACUUGUUGCCAAGUUAAAGCAAAAGAGGAAAGUGAGUAUUUUUCAUGGACCAAUGCCUCUCUUAGUUGCUGCCACACUUGACUUCUCUCUAAGUUGUUGAAAAUUUAGAAGUGUGGUAGCAUAAAGUAUUCAGCUCAAGUGCUUUAGUGCCUCACUACCCUUGAAGCUUUAGAAGCUGUCAAUACAAUUGGGGUUUUAACAUGUAACCAUUUUGGAAAUUCUAAGAAGUGUAAGUAUUAUGGUUUUACAAAUUUAUUAGACUAGAUAGGCAACUUCAAAUUGUUGAAUGCCUUGAAUUAAAAUCACUAUUAGAAGGAACCCAUGAGCACUCUAUAGAAACUCAUUGUAAGAGUUUGGGAAAAUGUUAGGGUUGAUUAAACUACUAUUUUAUAACAGAUUUUGCCUUACUCAAGAAUCUUGUGAUUAUCCCUUGGCACAAUCAUUUCUCGUGUCUAAGAAAUUCAUAUCUACUACAUGGCCAAAGAAUUUAGUAGCAUUCAAAAUUUAUGUUUUCUUUCAAGUCAGGUGUAUUGCUUGCAAUUCUAACAUGUUUCCUAUUUUGAACGUUGUAUUGCUAUUUUACUAUCAAUGUGUUAAGAGCAUUAUACUCUAUUUUCUAUAAUGUUGUUUACUUGUUAUAUGUAUUAAUUAUUUUAUUGCAAAUGUACUUGUUGCCAAGUUAAAGCAAAAGAGGAAAGUGAGGAUUUUUCAUGGACCAAUGCCUCUCUCAAUUGCUGCCACACUUGACUUCUCUCUAAGUUGUUGAAAAUUUAGAAGUGUGGUAGCAUAAAGUAUUCAGCUCAAGUGCUUUAGUGCCUUACUACCCUUGAAGCUUUAGAAGCUGUCAAUACAAUUGGGGUUUUAACAUGUAACCAUUUCUUUUUGUUCUUAUAGACAAUAGAACAAUGUGGUAAUUGCAUGACAUACAAUUUGUAAUAGAUGGUCAACUAUAUAUUAAGUAAUCUUUAAUUGCCUUGGAGUUGAAACGUUUGAUGUUGAUAAGGUUUGAUAAUUCUUGCUUUGGUGCUUUGUUGGAUUUCAAUUCAGGUAAUUAAUUGAUCUUGUUAUGAUUUUUUGAUUGUUAUUAUAACUAUCGUGAUAAUCAUUCUUAUUUUAUCGUGGUAAUUGACUUCACUGACUUUAUGCCCAACCUAUUAUUGUUAGUAUUCCAUUAACAUACCUCUAAUGCCACCACUAAUAAACAUCAUGUGUUUAUAUUUAUAACACGUUUCAUUACUGAAAUAAUUUAAUAUUUUCAAAUUUCUUUUUAGAGUGUGAGAAAUAACCAUUAAUCUUUACAACAGCAUAAGUAUCAUUGAUUUGAUAUUGCUUUCUUGAGUAAUUUGGCAAUUUAAUUAUGAAGUUUAGUUGGACAUUACUUGAGAUUCAUGUCUUAUGUAUAUGGUAUAUUUUCCAAACUUCAAUUAUAUUUAGUAGACUUGUAAGUGGUGUUUGUCUAUGAGUUUCAACUCUUGAAAACUAUUAUUGGAGUCUAAGUUCACUUUCAAUAAGGAAAAAAAAAAAUCAACCUUUUCCUCAAUUGUGUAAUUUUAUUCACUAUUGACAUGCCCUUAAAUGGCAUUGCUAUUAUUUGUAGGGAACAUUGUCAAGUUCCAUAUUUGUCUAGAAAGUUAGAAGAAGUAUUUAAUUUGACAUGGUUUGGACAUCUUGCUACUAUCUUUUUAAAUUAGUUAUCAAUAAUUUUUCAAAGUUGACCUUUUUGUUUAUCUCAUACUCCUUUUAUAUUAAAAGGUAUCGCAUGGGUAUUAUGUAGAGGAAUCAUGCCUUCUUUAAUUGAGGUGAGCCUCUUGCAAAAUAUUUCAGGUUUGCUCUCAUUCCAUUUGUUACUUCAUGUCUAUUUUUUUGUAAUCAAUCAAGCAAGAGUUUCUUACUUGUACAAUGGUGAACUUGCUUGCAUGAAUAAUACUCUUUUUACUAUUUUUUUCUUUCUUUAUUAUAUUCAUUGAUACGCUUAGAAGUGAAUAGUGAACCAGGUUUUUUGUUAAAAGAAAUCAAAUAUUGGUAAUUAUUUAGUAUCAUGUUUGUAAUAAUCAAUUAUUGAUUGUAAAGAUACUUGGCUUAAUCAAUUAUUAUAUUGAAAUCAAUUUAGUACUAUGACUAAUACCAAAAGGAUAAUAUUUAGUCUUGUUUGACCAUUAGUCACUAUUCUAGAGACAAAUGCUCACAAGUUUUGCAUCUUUGAAGCAUAUGAGAAAAGUUGGUUCAACUAUAUCACCAACUUACAAGCUCCUUAUAGUGUCCAUAUAUAUAACCUUCGUUGUUCAGGUUUAUGAUUCAUAUCUUUUUUUUUUUCAUCUUUUUAUUGUUUAUAAUUUUUUAAUUGAUUUGUUUAUAAAUUUUUAAACUUUAUUGGCAAUACUAAUUAUUUUUUUUUAUUCUCAUGUGCAAUAGAAUAAUAAGUUGAAUAAGAAGCAUAAACUACUUAAUUGGUAUAACCGUUUACUCAAUUCUCUUCUCAUAUAUUUUUGUUCAAGGUAAUCAAAGUAUCAUUCUUUUUAUUUUUAAAGGUACUUGAACUCAGUGAGGACCAUUCCCAAAACAAGCAAUCAUUACAGUUGGAUUACUGAUAUCAUAUCCUUGAUUGACAUCUAUGCCAUUACAUUUGCAUCUAAAGGAUUUAUAAUGAAAAAAUAUCUUUUUUAUUUCCAUUUUCCUUCCUUCUUUUGACCAUAAUUUGUGUGCUUAUUGAUAGCAUUCAUACCCUAAUAUAUUUGCUAGCAUAUAUAUGCAUAUCAUAAUCUAUUGAAUUUUUUAGCAUAAGGUCUUAGAGUAUUCACAUAUCUCUAGGUUCUAUAUAUUUAUAAUUUUUACAACAUCAAAUGAAGUAUAUGAACCUUAUCCUGAAGGUGAAGUCUCUUUAAAGGGAGUUUCAACAUGUUAGCAAUUACCUAACUUAAUAAUCUAACAAUUUGGCACUAUAUAUAAUUUUGCAACUCUUUCAUAAAGUAAUUGUGUUACCUUUAUUCACAUUUUCUAUCUUUAUUUUAAAAAAAAUGAAUUGGUAAUUGUGUGUCAAAUCUUGCUUACAAUCAUUAAUAGGUACUUAUAUGCUAAAUGGAUAAAGUUAUUUUACAAUUGUUUCAACAUAUUUGGAAUAUAUAUAUAUAUAUAUAUAUAUAUUUAUAGAUGUAAUCACUACCAAGCCAAUGCGAAAAGCUAUAACAAUGAGGAUUACAAAGCUUCAAUUAUGUCUUGGAGAUUCAUAUUGACAAGUUGUAAAUGGUGGGUGAAGUCUCUUUAAAAGGAGCUUCAACAUGUUAGCAGUUACCAAACUUAAGAAUCUAACAACUUGACACUAUAUAUCAUUUUGCAACUCUUUCAUAAAGUAAUUGUGUAACCUCUAUUCACAUUUUCUAUCUUUAUUUUAAAAAAAAAAAUGAAUUGGUAAUUGUGUGUCGAAUCUUGCUUACAAUCAUUAAUAGGUACUUAUAUGCUAAAUGGAUAAAGUUAUUUUACAAUUGUUUCAACAUAUUUGACACACAAGUACCUAUUAAUAAGUAUAUAUUUAUAGAUGUAAUCAUACCUAGCCAAUGCGAAAAGCUAUAACAAUGAGGAUUACAACGCUUCAAUUAUGUCUUAGAGAUUCAUAUUGACAAGUUGUAAAUGGUGGGUGAAGUCUCUUUAAAAGGAGCUUCAACAUGUUAGCAGUUACCAAACUUAAGAAUCUAACAACUUGGCACUAUAUAUCAUUUUCCAACUCUUUCAUAAAGUAAUUGUGUAACCUCUAUUCACAUGCUCUAUCUUUAAUUUUUUUUUUUUUUUAAAAAAAAUGAAUUGGUAAUUGUGUGUUGAAUCAUUCUUACAAUAUUUAAUAGGUACUUAUACACUAAAUUGAUAAAGUUAUUUUACAAUUGUUUCAACAUGUUCUGAAAACAAAAAAGAUUAAUAAGUAUAUUUUUUCUAGAUGUAAUCACUACCAAGCCAAUGUGAAAAGCUAUAACAAUGAGGCUUACAAAACUUCAAUUAUGUUUUGGAGAUUCAUAUUGAAAGUUGUAGAUUAUGGAUGUAUAGUAUAGGAGUUAGAUUGAGUUUAUCAUUCUAUCUUUGACAUCUUAGUUUUCUAUGUAUUGUCCAUCAUAUAUAUUUGUCAUCUAUUCUUUACAACCAAUUUUUUAAGGACUUCUAUGAUUUGUUUAAAUUUAUAUAUUUGUUUUUAUUUGUACUAGAACUUCACCAAGCUACAAAAGCAUCACAAGUAUUGCAAUUGGAGUUCAUGGAUCAGGUAUUUUAGUAGUUUUUGUACCUGAAAUUUUUUUAUGAUACUAAUGAGGAUGUUUACCUUGAUUAAUUUAACACUUAUAUUGCAAAUAUCUAUAUAGGAGUUCUAUACAUUUAUUUAAACAUUUAUAUACAUAUUUAUCCUCUUUCUAGCACAUUCUAAUGAUAUUUUUAACAUUGAUAUAAGUUGUUUGCUUGAAGGUUUCAACUAUUGAAAAUUAUUAUUCAAGCCUAAUGUUAAUCUUUUUCUAUAGUGGAUUUCAAAUAAUAAAUUCUUAUUUGAUUAUUUGUAGGGAAAAUAAACAACUUCUAUGUUUGAUAAGAAAGAAGAUAGAGUAGAUCAAUUUCACAAUAUACGAAUGCUACGCUUUCUAUACUUUUAAAGAUGGUUACAAUUGGCUUUCUAUACUUAACAAGUACAUCUUAGCUAAAAGUGAAAAAAUGUUUCUCUUUGCACAUGCCUUCACUACUAUUUUAAUUGCUAUCUUAAUAUGUUAUGGAAAAACCACGGCAAAUAACAAUAAUAAGGAGAAGAAAUAAAAGAACAAAAAUAUAAAACUUAUAAAGUAGGAUGAUCUAUGUGGUUUGGCCUAAACCUACAUUUAUAUGUGAAAAUGAAGAAGAACUUCCACUAUUAUUAAAGGAGAUUAAAAUCCUAAAGCUUUCAAAUCUCAUGAUUACACUAAAAAUGGACUUUUUUUUUUAAUCAAAAUCUCUUCCUUUAUUUUCUUGAUUAUAUAAGAAUAUUCCAUAGAGAAUUAAUUGUGUAAUUAUCAAAGAUAACUAUUCCUAAAAGAAAAAUCUUAUAAUAUGAUAUUUCCUUUAGAAUAAAAGAAAAAUCUCUUGUAUAAAUAUAUCAUAAUAGGAAAAUAUUAAAGACUUAUAAAUUGACUCAAAACAAUUUGAAAUAUUUUUCAACAAUCUCCACAUUGGCUCAAAUUCUCAAUAUUCAAAUAAACUCAAAAGUCUUCUAUGUUACUUUGCUCUUAUACACCCUUAAGGGAACUUCAAGUAAUAUCAAUACCAAUUAAGUCUAAGCAAUGCAUAAACUUAAUCAUAGAAAUAAGUUUAGCCAUCAUAUCUAUAAAAUUAUCAACUAUAGGGAUCUUUUUCAUUACAUUAGUACCUUGUUCAAUCACAUCUCUAAUAAAAUGCAUUCUAACAUCAAUAUGUUUGGUUCUCUCAUGUAACAUAUGAUUUUUAGUCAAAAGUAUGACACUUGGCUACCAUGAUAACAAUAAUCAAUGAUUGGAACCAAAUAAUUACAUUUUGUGUGCCUAAAAUUAGGCAUUCAUAUUUAAUAUCCAAUUCUAGUUUCAUCCCUUUACUCAAUUUUAUUCCUAAGUCCUUAAUUUUGGGUUUAAUGUAUUUUUUAAAUAUUUUCCUUCUUUUUUGGUAUAUUUAUAUCACAUUUUUGCUAGCCAUUAUAUUUUUCAUGUGUUGGUUGCUAAUUUUACACUACAUAGUUGUCACAUCAUCCAACUAAUGGUUGUUACAUUAUCCAACUAUGGGCUGCCACAUGCUCCAGCUACCUUAGCCUCCUUGCCAAGUAUUUUCCAUGCCAAAAAAAGAUUGACAACUAUUUCAAUUGGUUGGUAAAGUUGAGAAAAGCUUCCACCAACCUCGCCAUUAAGUUGUGCUCCUUGCUCCAAUUUCUAAUUUUGCUUUCUACCCUCUUGUGGAGUUAGUGUGGAAAUGACUUUAUACAAGGGAGAUGAAGGUUGGUUUUAAGUAAGGUAGCUUAUUUGUAAACUUGUAUUUCCUUCAUUCAGGCGGUAGUUCUCAUUUCUUAGCCUUGAUUUUCAAUUUUGAUCCUCUCAUCUUGCCUCUAUGAGUGGCCAACAUCCAAACCAAGGAAUAAUUUUUAAUAAAAUAUUAAUAUUAAUGUUCAAAUAAAAUCAUAUAUUUAUAUUCCUUAUCACAUUUAUAGGAAGAGAAAUAUUUGAGACUAGGCCCAGUUCACUUUUUAUAAUUAUAAAUAUCAUAAAAAUAUGAAUAUUAAUAUCCUUAUCCUCAUAAAAGCAUAAUUAAUUUAUUUUAUAAAAAAUUAAUAAUAAUAAUAAUAAUUACUAGUACGAUUUUAUUUUAAAUAGAUUUAAAAUUAAAUAAAGUUUAAUUUUUAAGGUAUACAUGCAUAAGUUUUUCAUUACAUAUACACAUUUAAUACUUAAUUAGUAAUAGUGUAUUCUAAAAUUUUUUUAUCUAGUCUAUAACUAAUUAAUCCAUUUUUUGGAAUUCUAAAUUGUUCUUAAAAAUUAAAAUAUUCAUUAAAGAAUUGAAAGUGUUUAUUAUGUUUAACUUAAUUUAAAUUUAUUUAUCUAGUGAGAAAAUUCAUAAAAUAUAGUUUUAUGUAUAAAGGAAAUAGUAACGACUUUACAUUUAACGAAUCUUUUAUUUUAUAUUGAUUCAUUUAAUAGUCUAUUAUAUAUAUUUAAAAUUUAUUAAACUCAUUAAUAAAUUCAAUACAAAGUUUUACUUAAUUUGAAAUUCAUCUCUCUAGUGAAAAAAUUGAAAAAAAAUAUUAUUUUGUGAAAAAAAAAUACAAUAAAAUCAUUCUAAACUAAUUUUUGUCCAUAGAUUUUUUGUAUUUAUUAGUUUAUUAUUUGAUUUUUAAAUUAAUUUAAAAAAUUAUUAGACUUAUUAAUGAAUCCAAUACAUUAUUUUUUUGUUUAAUUUAUUUAUCACACCAUCAAACAAACUUUUAUUAUUAGUAAAAGACCUCUCAAAAGAUGUUUUUUUUCUAAAUAAAAAAAAAUAUUAUAAACGAUGUUUGAUUCGAGAGUUUUUUAAAAAUAAAAAUUAUUUUAAAUUAUGUGUACAUAAUUGUUGCAAAUUUAUUUCUUUUUCCAUUACCAUUUUCAUUCCUACUUAACAUUGAAAUGAAAACAAAUAAUCAAUUAAACCUUACAUUUAUUCCUAAUCCAAUGACAAGAAUUGGUAUCACCGAAUUCAUUCCAUUCUCUAGUCUCAUGUAUCAAACAUAGUCGUAUAGUACCAAAAACUUCUUCUAAGUAAUGUGGAAUAUCACAUUCACUUUCAUACAGAUACAGUUUUUAUUGUAUCACAUGGAAUUGUGAGGCCUUUUAGUACCAUUUGUAAUGACCCACCUCCAAUUAUAUAAAUAUUAUUUGGUCUAAGUCCAAUGGACUCUAAUCGGUUUUAAAACUUGGCUAUACUGUUAAGAGAAGUCUACUAUGUAUACAAUCUUCUCCUAAUAAACAUGUGACAUAACAAAUGGUGGGACUCAAACUAAAGCAAGGCCUUUCAAACUGUCUACCAUCUUAGUUUCAGCAUGAAUUCAAUUUGUUCCAAACAACAUAACUCUGGAGUAUUUUAAACAAACGAUUUCCAUUUAAAACACAUUAUUAAAGUAUAAAGAAAACAAACCCGAUCUUCAAGCGGUUUUGGGGAUCACCUGUGGAAGAGCAGUGAAAUAGAAAUAUCCACUAAGUGUAUAGGGACCCAAGAUCAACACAUGCAACAGGAUAUCUAAUUCCUCCUAAUAUCAUCAGCAUGAAGAAAAUUGGCAUCAUUUCCACUGAGUUCUGAUGCCCUCUCUGAAAAAAAAAUAAAUGCAAAACAUUUGUUUUUUCUAAUCAUCGGUCAUCCAUACAUAGAAAAAUCUAUGUGUGAUCUUAAGCCAGAAAAGAUGUUGCAUCUAAUCAAAUUCACUAGACAUGAUGAUAUCUAUACUUUUUUUUUUUUUAAUUAUAUUCAUAUUUAUGUCAGAAAAUAAAUUUUUUAUUUUUUAUUUUUAGAACAUUAAACUUUUUAAAAGUCCUUUCUGGGAUAUUUUCUAGCUUUUUCCUUUUGCUAAUUUUUGUUAUUCAAACAAAUCUUAAGAAAGGAAUCAAGCUUGGACACAAUUAAAGAGCUUGGCAUCCUUGUUUUUAGAUUCCAAAGCAUAUAUAGAGAUUGGGGUAAAACACCUUGUACCUAAGAAAAAAAAAGGAAAAAAAAACACCACAACAAAAAAUUAACCAAAAAUCAGAAAACUAACUAGAAUAAAAAAUCAAGAAAAUAUUUUUUUCUGGGUUAAUAAUUAAUUAUAAUGAAAUCAAAAGAAAAAGAAAAAAUACAUACUUCUUCCUGGCUUUGCCUACACUGAAAGCCAUGAAAGAAUUGGAAAAGCAGUAAAGAACAAGAACAAGAACCACAUAUGGGGAAAGCAAAUCCUCUGUUGCCUUCUUCAGAUUAAAGGCAACUAAUAAACGGGUUAAGGGGUUAUGAGUUUGACUUGGUUGAGUUUGAAGCUACAAAAGUAAGAAAAAUGGUAGUAAUUUUGGAAGCAUUUCUAACUCUUCCAUAACUUGAAAGAUAAAAAAAUUUAAGCGUUAAAAAUGUUAAAAGAGCUUUUUAGAAUCACCCCAAAUGUACUCUAAAUUAUUUAUGACUUGAUGUCACCUUCACACUCAUUUUUCAGUGUCAUUUAAUUUUGGUGUUCCCAUAUUAAAGAUUUAGGGUAAUGUAAUAUUCAAGCCUUCGAAUUUUGCCUUCACUAACCUUUGAAUUUUAAUUAAAUUCUUUGAAGGAUAUUUGACCACUUCAUUGUCCAAAAAUGCUUAUAUUGCCAUUUUUUUGGGUCUUUUUCUAUAAUUCCAAUUUUACUAUUUUUCUUUUAUUUAUUCCUAUUAUUAUUUAGGCUAUUAUAUAUAAUAUUCUUAAUAUUAUAUUUAUAAUUGUUAAUAGUAUAAUUACUUUUUUUUCAUUUAUUUGUCAUUUAUAUUGCUUAUCUUAUCUUUAAUCAUGUAUAAGACUCAAAAACUGCAGAAAACAUUAAUAAGUAACUACUAAACUUCAAAGAGAUAAUAAAAUUCAACUACAUUGAUAUUACAAUAAUACAAAUGAAAUAUAUACCAACCAGCCCUUAAAGGGGCUUUUAAGAAAUAAUGAGUCUACUUCAGAUUGACAUUUAAAGUAGAAUCACCAUCUCUAUAGAUAAAUAUGAAGCCUAAAAAGAACAGAACAUCACUAAAUAAUAUUAAUAAAGCAACAAUUAGAUCAAUUGAUAGUGAAAAUAAAGGUUUACAAGAUGAAUCACAUAAAUAAGAACAACUAAAUUGAGAAACAAAUUACAUGUCUGACAAAUCUAAUGAGGGAAAACAUUGGAGCUAGGUGCCCAAUGAUUGGCUCCUUGAAGUUGACCUACCUCCUCAAUAGGUACAUAGGAGUCCUUACCUAAAAAAACAUUAAAAUCAAUAGGGCGAACAUAAGAUCUAAUAAAGGAUAUGAGUUUUCCUUUUUGUGCACCAAAGGAAGAUAAUGAAGUAGAAGAAAAUGAUGAGAAUUUUUUUUUUGGAAAAUAUGGGGAGUCGUUCUGUAAAUGAAGCAGAAGAGGAGAAGUUGUAAGUGUUGGAGAGAAAAAAGAAGAAGGACAUUUUUGUCUCAAUCAACAAUUUUGUUUUGUUUUUUAACCGGUGGGUUAUAUAUGCAAAUGUGGGGGUUAUUUUGACCCCUUUAACCAAAUAUCCCUCUUUUUUAUCGAGUUACAACUUUAAAUUAGGUGUAAAAAGAAAUUUUGAUAUGGUAGAUACUAUACAGUUAUAUAUUGAAAUUCCAUGGUUCAUUAGAUAAACCAUCCUUGAAUUUCUUUGGUUUCAAUCAAGAUGAUAGAUCAUCCUUCCACAGAGUGACCUAAUAUGACAUUGAUUUUCUAGGGCUUCAAACACGAAGGGUGUCAAUGACUAAGAACUCCGUUUGAUUGCCGAGAAAAUGAGGAAAAAAACCCUCAAAUAAAAUAUAAAUACAAUUAAGAAUUUCAAUUUUACAUUGUUAGGGACCCCAAAAAUGGGAACAUUCACUUAACUGAGCCUAAUCCAACCACCUACCUUAGUUCAAUCCAGUCCCCACUUUCUAGAAACCAAAACAAUAUAAACAUUCCUGUGUUUGACUAUUCAGAAAGCAUAUGAUAAGCAAAGAAAAGAACGGUGCCUCCUCAAUCAAACAAAUUUUUUUUUUUCCUUUUCUUUUCUUGCAUUUUCUUUUUUUCGGCAACCAAACAUAACUUUUUAAUUGAGCAUUGUUGUAUACAAUUUAGAUUUCUUUCCCUCGGUUUCUCCGUAACCAAACAGAAUUUUUCUCUAUUGAGCGAGAGUCUAGUAUAUCCUUCGUUUUCCUAUAACCAAACAGAACUUCCCUUGUUAUUUUUUUUAAUCUUUUCUUUGAAUUUCUCGGAAACCCAACGGAGUUUACUUCUGGUGCAACCGUGCAAGAAAAUGGUUUUACCUGAUCGCAGUUCACCGGACUAACUGAAGCAACAGAGGCUUAAGAAAAAGAGACUGAGCUUUGUUUGUUAGACCCCCUAUGUGAGUAUGCAAAGUAAGAAGAACUGAAGCUGAAAUUAGGCGGCUUCCAAACACGUCCUAGGAGUUGGUUUUAAAACCCAUUUUUCCCCUUUUUGGUUGCAAUCGGUCUGCAAAGAUGCCAUUAAAAGGUAACCGUAGUUGGUUGCAUGAAUAAGAAAAUGAAAAGAAAAGAAGUUAAAACUAAUUAAAAUUAUUUAAUAUUUACAUUGAAGAGUAAAAAUAAUUACAAUAUAUUUAAAUAAACACAUAAAAAUAAUAAUUUAUUAAUUUUAAAUCUAUUUUUAAAAUUUUCAAUUUUUCAUUUAUUUUAUUCCCUCUAAGCUUUCUAACUAAGGUCAUAAUUUGGACAAAUUGUUGGAUUCAUAACUAAUCUAAAUAAUCUAAUAGAGAUAAAUAAAUAAUUAAUUUAAGUUCAACCCAACCUCUAAGCUUUCUAACUAAGGUCAUAAUUUGGACAAAUUGUUGGAUUCAUAGCUAAUCUGAAUAAUCUAAUAGAGAUAAAUAAAUAAUUAAUUUAAGUUCAACCCAACCUCUAAGCUUUCUAACUAGGGUCAUAACUUGAACAAAUUGGAUGGUUAACAUACAACUUGGACAUAUUGGUGGGUUCAUAGCUAAUCUGAAUAAUUUAAUAGGGAUUAAUAAAUAAUUAAUUUAAGUUUAGCCCCACCUCUAAACAAAGGUAUUUAAUUCAAUCUCAACCAACUUCAUUUCUUCGAGCUCUGGUUGAUGAGGUUAAACUUGGGUUAGCCCUUGAUUGUAUAAUUCAAAAUACAUGUAGAAUGUUUUUUAAUAAAAAAAAAUUUAUAUACUUAUAUCAAAUUUUAAAUAGUAAGUAGGACAAAACUUUAAAAUAACAAAAAAAAAACAAAAAAAAAAAACAAAAGCAAAAACAAAGUUAUAUAUCUUUUUUAAAAAGUAAAAAAAUAUAUUAUAUAAUAUAAUUUGAUUUUUUAUUUAUAAAAAUUUAGAAAGAAUAAAAUUAUUAUAUAAAAUAACAUAUAUUGGAAAUAUUAUAAAAACACUAAAAGUUUGUUCAGUAGUUAUUCAAAUAAGUGUUUCUAUCCAUAAUUUAAACUUUGGUUUCAAUCUAACUUGAAUUGAAUUUGAGUUGAAAAAGUUUAACUUGAAUAUUAAAAAUAAUUGUCUAAACACGAUCAAAUAUCGGAUUGGAUUCGACUAAUCUGCCAAAGUUGCACUCCUACCAAGAACCAUACACAAUAAAAAGAUUUUAAGAUAUUUUUUGUUCUAGGAAAGUACUCAAAAAGGAGAAAUAAAGAAAAAAAAUGAUUCUAUAUGUAUAAUUAAAAUUAGUUAAAUUUUAUAUAUUUUAAAAUUAUUUAAUUUUUUUUAUAUGGAAAAGAAAAAAAAAGAGUGAAGUAAGUUUGAAAAAACAAGUAAAAAUGAUUUGUUAACUUUAAUAUUUUUUUUCUUUUCUUUUCUUCUAUUUUUUUCUUUUUAGUUUAUUUUUCUCAAAUUUUUCAAAAAAUAAACAUAGAAUUAAAAAAUAAGAAAUAAUUACAGAAUUGGAAACCAAUUUUAGAACUUGCUUAUAUGAUUGCAUUAGUUUGUGUAAAUAAUAAUUUUAUUGAAUGUUAAGAGAGUGGUAUUAAAUGCACAUUAUUUAAUAUUUUUAUUUCUAAAGAAAGUAAUCUUUACAUGGAUUGGACCAGUGUUUAUUUAUCCAUGUGGGCCAGCCCAUUAAAAACAUCAAACCAACAACUCAAGGGACGACCCUGGUCAUUCUCGGGGGCCCACAACCUUCAUCUCAAACAAAAGCCCAUGGGCAGGAUCACCUUCCACACACAUCUUCAUACCAGCCACCACGCUACCAACAAUCCUCCUCCAUGAAAGCCCACCUCCAUCACAGCAAGCAGAAAAUCCAACACGCCAACCAUCAACCUCCGCACAGACCUAACACUGCAUAGCCGUGUUUUAGGAGUGUUAGGACGUGAUUAGAGAGGAUCUACUUUGAGUGUUCAUGGAGUUUCGCUAUAAGAGGAAUCAGUUUACCAAAAAUUCUUCAUGAAACCAUCCAUUUAUCUCAG
Molecule: long non-coding RNA, 80310 nt
Filed under: Vitis vinifera (wine grape)
Lineage: Eukaryota; Viridiplantae; Streptophyta; Magnoliopsida; Vitales; Vitaceae
Description: long non-coding RNA (VVIN_LNC006723)
Source: RNAcentral